UUUUUUUUUUUUUUUUUUGUGGUCAGCUCAAAAUUUUAUUAAGCCUUUGAAAAGAAAGGGUACACAAGUGGGAGGGGUAUAUCCCUCAACCAUUUUGCAUGUAAAGAAAGUUUCAGGCUGCCCUGUAAUCAAUAGAAACCUAUCUAUAUUUAAAGGUUGAAAAUGAAAUUUCUAAGGGAUAAUUUCAAAAAUCUCCCUAAAGUUUCUGACAGUUUUACUUAGCACCCUCAAAUUUUAAAAAUUCUCACUUGACUCCCUUACUUUAAACUUUUGGUAACAUUUGAAACUCAUUUCAAAAUAUAAUAUUAAAACUCAUUUUGGAGAGAGAAUACAAUUUCAUUUCAAAUUUGCCCUUUUCUUGUGAUUUCUUAAUUAUUAUAACACACUGAAAUUAUCUCUCAAUUUUUAAUAAUUGAUUGAUGUAGUUGUUUAAUGAAAAUUUAAAAGUUGAUAACAAGAUAAAAAAACUCUUUCAUAGUUUUUCGAUCGUUGGUUCAAAUAAGAAAUGUUAAAUUACUUAGAAUUAUGAAUGAUUUACAAUACUUUUAAAAAUAACUUAUAAUAAUUUAUAACCAUAGGAAUACAUUUUGUACCAGCUUAAAAGCAAUACAAACAAGUUUAUAUAUAGUUUUUAACAGAUUGUGUUUUUUUACUUUUCAAGCCAUCAAUUUGAAAAAAUUGAAAAACAUGCAAAAGAUUUAUGAAACUUCUUAAAUUAACUCAAACACUUUAUAGUAGAUAAAAUAUUAUAUAUAUAUAUAUAUUUAUAUAUAACUUGCAAAAACAUCAAAUAAACUUUCAAAUAUUAACUUUUGAUAUUUAAAAAGCACACCAUAUUUUAUCCAAUUAGAAUAAACUUUCAUGGCUAUUGUUUUUGCUUUUCGUUUGUUGUUAAUAUACCCACUGUUUUGGUAAUGAAAAGUAAGACAACGUAUUGGUAAAUUUGAAAUGAGAUUUUAUUUACUCUCUCAAAAUGAACUUUUUAAUAUUAUAUUUUUAAAUAGGUUGUAAAUGAUACAAGAAACCUAAAGUAAAAGAGGCAAGUAAGUUUUUUUAAAGUUUGAAGGUGCCGAGUGAAAUUGUUAAAAACCUUAGGGAAGAUUUCUAAAAUUAUGCAAAUUCCUAAAGAAAGACCACCCCUUAACUUUAUUACAAAUUGCCUAUAUAUAUAUAAACAUGUCCUUUUCCAUUUUUAUUUUUCUUUUUGCUUUGGUAGAACAAGUUUCUCUUUCUUUUAAAUAUACAAACUAGAGGUCCAUUCUAAACCGGAAUACUAAUAGCGAAUUGUCUACAAACCCAUUCUAAAGGAGCGGCAUUAAAAGGGGCUGUCCUCAAAAUGGCCCAAAAAUUAAAAUUUUGUGUAGACUAUAGGUGGAGCCUACCCGAACUGUGGCUAAGCGUGAUAAAGCCCAUAUAGUGCUGCAUUGAUCUUUUUUUUUUUCUUUUUUCUUUUUUUUUUUGUGAAAAAACCAUCCACAUAUUUCAUCCAUUGCUGUAACUAGCUGACUUUUAUCUAUUUUAACAAUCGUAACAAUUAUAACCUUAGCAAACAGGAGAUAUGGCUACUACUCUAGUGCAAGAUGAGGAAUAUCUAAAUCUUUGGUGUCGAAUGAUACAAUUAUAAAGCUUCGCAUGGGCCGUUGCUCAAGUUGUAUAGCUUGUUUUGAUUUUAAUACAGGUUGUAAUGUUUUCGUAAAAAAAAAAAAAAAAAAGAUAUGGCUAGAAUGGUAUCCAACACUUGCCUAGCUCUUAUGUUGAUUGUCUUUGUCUACAAAUAAUGAGAUGCAUUUCUCAUUAGAAAUAGCCGAGAUGCAAUUCUUUACAAAGUUGAGGAGUAAUAGUUGUUUAAGGAUGCCUUUCAUAAAAUUGAUGUUUGAAAAGUGAAAUUUAAAUUCAUUAAAUUACUCAAUUGUUACGCACUAAAUCUGACAUAUCUGAAUUUAUAUCACAUUAAAUGAUAAGUGAAUAGUUUAUCACUUAUUUUUUGAAACAAAUUUUGUCUAGAAAAUUCAGUGUUAUUUAAUUAAUUCAGAUAUUUUAUUUUUGUUAUCAACACGUAUGAACAUGUUAAAAUAUGAAUUCAUUAAUUUCAAAUGUUGAAUUUGACUAUUAUCAAACGAGGUCUAAGUUAUUUAAACUGCCCAACGCAGAAAACACGCAUGAUUAUUCAACCGAAAAAAAAUGAAAGAAAGAAAAAGUUAAUGCAGCAUGGACUUUUUGGUUUGAAGGGGGAACAAACAAAUAAAAGAAUAGAACUUUGUUUUGUUUUGUUUUGUUUUUUUUGUUUUAAGUGUGAAAAUUUGAAUCCAAAUCUCCUAUUUAUGAUCCCUCCUACCUUAUCACCUACACAAAUAAUACAACUUAUAUUUUGUGAUUGGCAGAAUAUACAAUUAUCUUGGAUUCAUCUUUGUGAUGUCCAAAACACAAAUUGACCUGACCAACUUCCCUUCUUGACCCCCAAAGGAAAAGUACAUGAAAGUUUCAAGAACAAAAAAAAUCCUUCAGCCAAACUUGACGUGGAUUUAUCACAUCAUGAACAUCACCUGACAUGUUUUUCCUGCGAACAUGCGCGUCCGAUUCCGCCAAUUACUCAAAAAAAUUCUCUUGUUAAUCACGGGUUCAGUGACAUGCUGCAUCCAAGAGAAUGCACCUGACUGGUGCGGCCUCAGCAACUACCUUUAAAGGAAGGCAAAGAACAUUGUAGUUCCCCGGAGCAAUACCAUCAAGCUUCAAAUUUUCAACAGGGAUAAUCUUAUGGCUGGUCAACAACGUUAUAUGAACCGGAACAAUUUCAUCAAUAACUGCAACAGACAUGUAAUCAAUCCCAACAAAUGUAAUAUUAGUAUUUUUCACCAACCAAUCUGCCCCUGUUGCUGUAAAUCCAGUAUAAUUAGGUACAAAGAAGCCUGUAUCCAUAAGGCGAUUAUCAGUGUUUGCUGUCUUAAAAAUCACUCUAUUUGUCCCUGGAGGAAUUUGCAGAGACUGCAUAACUUCACUAGUUAUGUUCUUGUCUUUAGGCGUCUCGACAACCAAGACCGAACCCAUGAGGGUUUUGAGGUCGAGGGCAUCAACUGUGAAUCCAGGCUGUCCUAACAAACCCGGGAAAAUGUGUGAAGGGGCAUCAACAUGGGUGCCAAGAUGAGUGCCCACGGUGAUGGUACCAGUGAUGGUAGCUUUCCCUUGAAAUUCUUUUAUCACAUCUUUAGCACCUAACAAGCUUCCAAAAGUAGGCAUAUUAUUCUUUAUGGGAUGAGUGAUGUCAUAUAUUUUACAGCCAUCGGAUUGUCCAUCAGAGGUGUUGGCAAAGGAGGCAAUGCAGGCCAGGGACAAAAGAACCAAGCAGGAGAUUGAUUUCUUCAUGAUUGUGUACGAAACCUUGGUGAAGGAGUUGGGAGUUUAUUCUCCCAAGAAUUUGGCAAUGUAGACUACAAUUUGGAGAGAAACUUGGAGGCAAGCAAGAAGAGAUUGGAGGAUGAUAGGGAAGGAACAUUCUGGGGCCUUUUUAUAUCAAUAAUGGACUCAAAAAAUGGCCUAGACUUUUGGUUUGUUUGUUUGUAGAGGAAAUGCUGCUUUCAAGCACAACCAAUCGUGCCAUCUAGCCUGUUUGUUAGGAGCAAAUUGAAUAUGCCACGCCAGCGGAUUUAUUUAUUUAGCACUUCAUUCUUCAUUCUUUAUAUCAGAUAUCGAUUGAAUUCAAUUCUUUUGUUCCCCCUUGAAAUAGUAAAAUUAUAUGUUGGAAACAAUUUAGAUAAAGAAAAUUCAUUUCUAGUGGUUGUGGAUGUUAAUCUAUUUUAACCACUAGUAUAUAUAGUAUACUAAAAGGGUAUUACUAUCUUGUUUAUACAGGUCUAUUUUAAUCUGCCUAAAUGGGAAAAAUACGUUGUUGGAUGCCACAAAAUAUGUGAAGAUUGACAAGUCAUAUACAUGGUUUUAUAUUGAUCUAUUACUCCGAAUUCUAUUUUUACCCUUCUGGUAGCAAUGUUCCAUCUCUCUGAAGUACAUUCAUAAACCCCCUUAGAGAUUGAGACACCUGAAGAUCAUGAACAAAAAUGAUGAUGACAAUUAAGAGCUAGCUAGCUAUCUUUUGAUAUGUUUUUGAAGAUCUAUUUCUGCAUUUGUUAUUUAUUAGACUUUACCCUUUUUUUUUUGGGCCAGAUGAAAUUUUGAUUAAAGAUACGAAAGAAUGAUUGGUCAAGGUAGUAGUGUUUUCGAUAGCUUAUUAAUUAGGGAUAAUUUCAGAAAUCUCCACUGAGGUUUGUGAUAGUUUUUUUUAGCUAUUCUCUUAUAUUGAAUAUUGCAUUUACCUCCCUUGUUGAUGCUAAAUGAACACACUCGCCCCUACCUAAAACUCAAUUCACAUACCAAAUAAGAGGACCUAACAAAAUUAAAGAGAAAGGAAAUGGAAACAGGUCACCUUGUUUUUCUUUUUUUUUUUUUGGUGGUACAUUAUUAUAGUGAUCUUUGGUGUACUUUAAUAUAAGCCGGCCACUUUACAUCCUUUUGUAAUUUUUUUUUGUUUGAUCAGCAGAAAGGUUAAUUGCCAGUCAAAAAAUAAAUAAAUCCGUGUUAAUACUUUAUUUAUUUGUUACUCAUUUUUUUGGGUUGCUUGUUUGUGAUUAUUUUUGUGGUAGCAAACAUGACAGUAGUGGUGUAGAGUGGUGUUGGUGGUCGUAUUGAUUCUAACACUUGAACGAAAGACAUUGUGGUUGUUCCCUUUCUUUCUUUCCCUUUUCCGCAGAAAAAAGUGUCUAGGGAUUUCCAUUUGAAAGUUGUGCUAUUUAUGAGGUUUUGAUACCUAAACAAUAAAAAUUGGGGAAGGAAGUGUAACGUUCAAAAUAAGAGGACUGUGAGGUGAAAUUGUCAUAAAUACCAGGGAAAGUAAUUGCAAUGCUUUUCUGUUUAUGAUUAUUUUCGCCAUUUACAUAUUAAAUCUCCAAAUUAAAUUCCUUCUUGAUUUCUGCAUUAUGGAUUAAUCAGAAUUCUGAAACUUUUCUAAUCUUGAAGGUGGAGAUAACGAACGAGUUUGAUAUGUUUUCUCUCAUUUUACGUUAGUAAACAUCACUCUUUGUUGCAGAUCCAUGUUUAAUAACACCAACCUCAUGAUUGUAAUUAGGGAUGGCAAUGGGGGCGGGUGCCCGCGGGGGGCUCUCGGGGCGGGGGUUGGGGCGGGGGGUGGGGCGGGGGUGGGGGGGAAUUUUUUCCCCCCGCUUAGAAACGGGGCGGGGGGCGGGGGAGUAUACCCCCGCCCCGCCCCCCGCAAAACAAAAAAAAAUAUAAAAAAAUAUAUAAUUAUAUAUAACAUGUAAGUUAAUUAGUUAUAAACUUAUGAUAAUGAUAUUAUUAGUUAGAUAUAUUAUAUAAUGUAUAUUAGUUUAUGUAAUAUAAUUGAUAUUAUCAAUUAUAUGAAUAAUUCUACAUGUUUACUAAUAGAAUUUAUUAAUUAGUUAUACUAAAUUUACUAAUAUAUUUAUACUAAAUUUCUAAUUACACUUAAUAGAAUAACACUUUUUUCUCAAAAAAAAGCACAAACACAAUAAUGAAUUAGUGAUUGCAUUUGUACUAAAAGUGAAAACUUGACUAUUUUAGUUAUAUUUAUUUCAUCAUAUUGGAUUGUAUUCAAAUAACUUCUGUUUGAUUGUUUUUAUGAGUUUCAAUUGCAAAAUUACAAUGAAUAAUAAUUUGGUGAUGCGUUGAUAUUUUAGUACUUGAUUAUUUAUUAAAAUUUAAUUAUAAUAAAAUUGUAUUAACCCCGCGGGGGCACCCGCGGGGGAAACGGGGCGGGGGCGGGGCGGGGCGGGGGAGCAGGAGGCGGGGGACGGGGCGGGGGACGGGGGGAACUAAUAGGCAACGGGGCGGGGGAUGGGGGAGGGGACCCCGCCCCAACCCCGCCCCGUUGCCAUCCCUAAUUGUAAUUGCUUUCAUAUUUGGAUUAUGCUCAAUCUCGUCAUAUAAAAGGCGUAUGUAGUGGAUUCCAUCCUUAAUUAUCCAAAAAGAAUAUAAAACUCUUUGAAGUUCUAUAAAACUUCUUGAUACAUAAUCUGAACGAGUGAAGUUGACUUCAAACCUGUUUAAGAAAAUUGAUUUGGUUUCAAGAAGGAUUUGGAAAGAAGGGAAGUGAUAUUUUUACUCCUCAAUUAAUUUCUAACACUCUUUGAAAUCUAUCUUUCUAGUGAGUAAAUUGGAGUGUAAUAAGCUAAAUAAGGAGUGCGAGUAUCAGUUCUCAAAAAGAAAUAAUUGUCAAACUUUAAGACUGAUUCAAUUUGGCCAUCAAAAGACCUUAUAUUGCUUAUAUGCUUUGAAUUUUUUCCUUCUUAGAAAUGAAAACGCAGAAGCAGAAGAUGUUAUAUCUUUUAAAACACAACUCUUAUUUCUUACUUAAAGAAGAAAAUAAUUGAUGGCAGCAGCACAUGAGGUGUGAAACUUCAUCCAUGCUCACUCAUAGCCUAACAUAACAGGAGGAUACAUCGUUUGUCUUUUUGAUAUGAAAGAUUAUUUUAACAGGAGUAAUAUAUAUAUAUAUAUAUAUAUAUAUAUAUAUAUAUAUAUAUAUAUAUAUAUAUAUAUUAUAAAGUAGACUUUUUUUUUCCAAUCUUGUACACAUAUGUCUUUUAUUUGUUCAUUGAGCUUUUAUUUAUUUAUUUAUUUAUCCGAAAAGUUAGAUUUGCUUUUAUUCCUGGUGAACUUCAAUAUUUUCUAAUUUUUUCAAGUAUUUAUAAAUUCGAAGAUAUAUUUUCAUCCAUUGCAUCUGGAUUCUCCACACAAUUCCAAAAUCUGCUACCCCUAAAAGAGAAAAAAAAUCUGCUCAUUAAUAGUCAAUAUCACCUUUUUCCCUUUGUUACAAUCACUUGAUCAUCGUUAUGACAUUUCAUUAAUUCUCAGAACCGAUCAAAAACCAAAAAUUCUCAUUGACUCAUAUUAAUUACAUGAGGUAAUUGCAACCAACUGAUCAAUUUCUUUUGUCUACAUGUGAAACAAAAUCUUCAUCCCAAUCCUCAAUAAAAAAAAAAUGUUCAUCACUUCAUUACAUACAUAGCAAAUUCACAUUUUGACACGUUAAAGUAAAUAGAGGAAUAUAUUAUUACAUUUUCACAAAUAUAGAUGGAAGAACACAAUGACACUAAUGUCAUAUGGGAAUAGAAACAGCCUAAAAACAACUUUAAAUGGACAAUAAUCCUAAUAAAUUACAAAUAACCUACUUUUCUGCAAUGCAAGAUACAGAUGAUCUACUCAAAAUCAGUAACCAAAAGCAAAUAUGACCAAGAAGAAGCUUAUUCCCAACAAAGAACCAAUUAAGCCACCAAAAGUAAUUGAUGCAGCAGAUGGAGACGGUGCAGGAGCAAAGGGCUGAACGAUCACUGGCGCAGGAGGACUCGCGGCUGCAGGAGGAGGAGUGUUAGGCUUAAUUGGUGAAGGAGUUGGGGCGAAAAUCGGAGCAGGAGACGGAGAAGGAGAAGGAGAGGGAGGAUUGGCCGCAACUGGUGAUGGAGCAUCGGUAGGAUUGCCUCUUGGAUGCAACACAACAAUGAUAAGCCUCUGACCCUUCUGGCAAUUAUCUGCAUGACCACUGAUGAAAAAGAAUGGACCUGCCCUGUUAAACUUGAACACUGAUUCCCCAUCUUUGAGAGCUAAAAAGGGGUUUUCCUUGUUGCAGUUGUAGUAAUCAUCUUUAUCUACUUCCAGAACAUCAUCAUAGCCUUUCUUGUAUCUAAAAACUGCAAGAAAAAAGAAAACAUCAUUAAAGGGCUAAAAUUUUUGAUGAAAAACCAAGAUUUUGAAUGCAGAAAUAUGUAGACGUCCAAUGAUUAAUCAUUAACAAGAAAAAAGGGUUUUAGUACUGAGGGUGUCAUUGAUCUGAAAUCGGUUUCUUCCAGCCCAUUGAUUGUAAUCUUCUUUGGGUUUUAAGACCCAACCAUCUCUGCCACCAACAUAGAAGGUGUAAGAUUGAGAUGCCGAGAGAAAAAAUCCUAGAAAAGUCACCAAGAAAAUGGUGAAGGCUAUUCGUUGAUCAAACUCCAUAAUUUUUAGAGGGAUAGAUAUAUUGAAUAUAUUGGAAAUUUGAGGAAUAUCUAAGUUUCUUUUAGUAGUGAUUGAUGGAAUAUGAUCAAGUUGGCAAAGGAAACGAGUAUUUUGCACUAGCAAAAACAAGAGAGAGAUGGCUAAAGACUGAAGACUGGAGAGAAAAAGUGAGAAAUUUUAGGAUGAAUUUAGGCAGUGAGAAAUGAGAAAAGUGGGGUAUUUAUUAUCGGCGUGAAUGAGAUUACCGUUGUAUUAUCAAUUAUGAGAUGAAAAUAAAAUAUGUGUGAGUCUUCGAUGCAAAAUUUGGCGUUACUAUGAGUAAGCAAUUUUUGGCAAGUGAUUACAUUUGGCAUAAUCAGAGAGAUUUAACGGUCAUAGGUAAUUCAAAGCAAAGCUCCAUUUUGAACCAAUUUUUGAAUGCUUUCCCAAGAAAGAUAGAGAAAUAAAUCGGAACCAAAGCUGGACUUUUUAAUUGUACUUUACCUUUUCAGAAUCCAAGUGGUGUGAUGGCCCAAUUUACAUAUUUCUCGGAUUAAUUUCAAUUUUGUGGCCCGUAUUACUGUCUUAGAAGCACACACAAAAAUGACAAAAUGAUUCAAAUUAAAGUCCACAGUAUACUUUCUUGAUCAUUGCUGGAACCUUAAAUAGUUUAUCUUAGCCAUCAUGAAAUGUGUCUGAAGAAUAUGAGCAAUUAAUAGGAAUAGCACUUAGGUGGCAAGAAAAAAGGAAUUGGAAUUUCAAGUAUCAUAGUAUGAUGUUAUGGUCUAAAUUAGAGUGACCCUUCACAGGUUUUUUUUUGGGUUGGGUUUGCAACACAUCUAUGAUAGAACAUGUAAUCAAUUAUCGGAUUAGGCCAUUAAGUUUUUUGUAAUAAUUACAAUGAUUAACAUUCGAAAAAGAUAUUAUUAUUUUUUAUUUACUUUCCAUUACUCCUGUCCAAUAGGAAGAUAGUCCCAAACUAUAUAUAUAUAUAUAUAGGCUGGAAGUUAGGGUUUAUAGUAGAAAAGAUAAUAAAAGGAGAAGGCAAAAAUAUACAUGAGUUGGACUUUUUACAUGGACAAAAGCACAAAUAGAUUUAGACUAUGCCUUCCAAUUAACCCUCGCUAAUAAACUAAGCUAGUAAACUGACUUUAGAGAGGCAAUUUGAUAUCGACAAAGUGGACAAAUGUUACUUACUCCAAGCCAAUUCACUAUGCAACUCCCAUGAUAAAUAUGCAAACAUGGCGUUCUUGUAGCUUCACAACCCUCUUCAAGUUUCUCCGUACAUGUCAUAUCAUACCGUGGCUAGCUCCAGCUUCACAAGCUUCAACCUUGACUUUCUCUAAAGCUUCAGCUGCUUCUUUGCUCGCAGGGUUUAUUCUCAAGUCAGCUUCCAUUGAUUCUCUCAUUGCCAAAAGGUGUCCUUCUUGCGUAUUAGCCACAAUCACACCAAUCGAGACAAUCAUCGGCAACACUUUUCUUGUUCUAUUUUUUACUUUGCUAGCAAUUUCAUCUGCACAACUGAGAUUUUUUGUAUCAUAGAAGGUUGUUUAUGUGUUGGAACUCCUAAUCUUGAUAGCGUCCUAUGGAUGAUGUCCCAAGUCAAGUUGUUACAUGAUGAUUUUUCACAACAUUCCCAAAAUUGAUGACAAAAAGUUAUGCUUUGCAGGUUUCUAGAUAGAUAAUCAGGCAUCAUGUUUCUCUUAUUCUUCUUCCUCCAUUGCCAUCACAUGUGUGAACUCAACUUUGAAUUAAAUGUAGAAUUGAUCGUAAGGUUUCAAUUCAACUGGAGGGAUGUUUAAGUAGCUACCUUCCCAUGCAUGGCAAAAUUCGUCAACUGGGAUCUUGAUCACAAUCCAUGGUUGAUUAGUUUUUGAAAAGAAUAAGGAAAGAGAGAACUUAACUAAGAGAAAUAAGGUUAUUGCGCAACUUAAGCGCGCGUUUAAGGGUUUUAGUUAUAUUUAUCUAAGUUUUAAACCAGUUUUCAAAUUCUACAAGGAUUAGGCUCUUAAUCCCGGUAAAAUAGGAACAAGAUAUUGUUUUUGAAUCUUGUCUUGAAUUUUAUUAGGAUAGUGAUUAGUUUAAGAGUCAAUCAAAUCUUGGAUGAAUUUACAAAUUGGGAUAUUUAACAUGUAUGAAGAUAUAUGGACCGAAUUGGCAAAUUAUGAACUUUCGGAAGGCACUUUCGGACUGUAAUUUGUUUGACUUAGGACAUGAAGGUAAUCGCUUCACUUGGUGUCGGAAUAGGUCGGCUCCUGACACAACUAGAGCUCGUCUGGACCGCGCAUGCGUCUCCCAUGACUUUCUCACCUUGUUUCCUGAUGCCAGGAUCUAUCACUCACAUGCUCUUUUCUCCGAUCAUGUCCCUAUUGUCUUACAAUUAUCGUGCUCACAUGGCCUCUUAAAAGCUCGCCGCAAAUCUGGGAGGGACAAACGCUUCAUGUUUGAAGCAAUGUGGAUCAAAUCGGAGGACUGCGAACGCAUUAUCCAAGAUUCUUGGGAGUAUAGCUCGACAGAAAAUGCUUGUGCCAACCUGGUUUUGAAGACAAAUAGUUGUAGGUUAGGCCUUCUCCAAUGGAGCAAACAGUCCUUCGGCAACCAUACUAAGGCUGCGGAUGAACUUCGGCAAAGGAUUUCUCGCCUCCAACAAGGUGUCUUGACGGACACUACCAAAGCUGAGAUUGGUUCCUUAACUACCCAGCUAGAGGAGCUUCUGGACAAGCAAGACAUCAUGUGGAAACAGCGCAGCAAAGCGCAGUGGUAUAGAGAGGGUGAUCGUAACACAGCUUACUUCCAUGGCCUGGCUUCCCAGAGACGGAAGCAUAACCAGAUUGUUGGCCUCUUCGAUAACAAUGGUUCUUGGUGUCAGUCACAGGAGGCUCUAGAAUCUAUUAUCAUGGAACAUUUUGGCACAAUCUUUUCUACUUCACAGCCUACUUCUCUGGCAAUUGAUGCAGUUAUCCAGCGAGUGCGGGGAUGCGUCUCCAAGGAAAUGAAUGAUUGCCUCCUGCGUACCUACACUACCAUUGAGGUAACAAAGGCUCUAAGUCAAAUGCAUCCUUUUAAAUCUCCUGGGCCGGAUGGCAUGUCACCAGUCUUCUACCAAAAAUAUUGGCAUAUUGUUGGUCGAGAUGUCACUCGUUGGGUUCUUACUGUACUAAACAAGGGCACCUUACCUACGAGUCUUAAUCACACCUAUGUUGUCCUUAUCCCUAAGUGUCACAGUCCAUCCAGUAUCACCCAAUUUCGUCCCAUUAGUCUUUGCAACGUAGUUUAUAAGCUAGCCUCUAAAGUCUUAGCUAAUAGGCUUAGGAACUGUCUCCCCAAAGUCAUCUCGCCAUGUCAAUCUGCGUUUAUCCCUGGGCGUUGUAUCACUGAUAAUAUCCUAAUUGCUUAUGAAAUCAAUCAUUCCCUUAAGCUGAAGUCCUCUGGGCAGGAGGGAUCGAUGUCCAUUAAGUUGGACAUGAGCAAAGCAUUUGAUAAGGUCGAAUGGCUUUUUCUUCGCCAUAUGAUGAUUGCUCUGGGUUUCCAUUCCACUUUUGUGGACAUUGUUUUCCGCUGCAUUUCUACUGUGUCUUACACUUUCCUACUUAAUGGGUCCCAACUUGGGAACCUACAACCCCACCGUGGUAUCAGGCAGGGGGAUCCUUUAUCACCCUACUUGUUCUUGAUCUGUGCCGAAGGCUUUUCUUGUUUGUUGCAGGAAGCUGAACGUUGCGGAAGCAUCUCAGGUUUUCGGAUCGGCUCACACGGACCCAAACUAUCUCACCUCCUAUUUGCCGAUGACACCUUAUUGUUCGGCAAGGCAUCGCUGCAGGAAGCUCAGCACAUCAAGACAAUCCUUGACCUUUACAAGGCAGCUUCAGGUCAGGAGGUUAACUUUGAUAAAUCAGCAGUGGUCUUCAGCAAAAACACAGACCCCGCAGUUCGUCGAAGCAUCACUCAGCUUCUUAACAUCAAGGAAGUUCCCACUCACGACAAAUAUCUUGGCCUUCCUACUGUGGUUGGUCGUUCCAAGGCUGAAGUUUUUUCAUCUGUAAAGGAGAGAAUCUGGCAGAAGAUACAUGGAUGGAAUGAACAGCGCCUCUCAACGGCAGGUAAGGAAAUCAUGAUCAAGGCUGUUGUCCAGGCCAUUCCAACAUACUCAAUGUCCUGUUUCAAGUACCCGGACUCCUUGCUUUCCGAUAUUCAAUCUAUGAUCAGUAACUUUUGGUGGGGUGACGGCACUAAGCAGAGACCAAUCCACUGGGUGAGUUGGGAUAGAAUGUGCUCGUCCAAAAAUGAUGGGGGCAUGGGCUUCAGACAACUUAAGGCUUUCAAUUUAGCUUUAUUAGCUAAACAGGCAUGGCGCAUUGCAACUCAACCGGCUACACUGCUUCAUCAGGUUUUUAAGGCGAAAUAUUUUCCAACGAAGGACUUUUUUCAUGAUGAGCCUACUUCCAGGCCUUCUUUUACUUGGAGGGGACUAUGCGCUGUUCGAAGAUAUUUACUCUCUGGUAGCAGAUGGCGAGUUGGAAAUGGGAACCGUAUCAGAAUUUGGAAGGAUAGGUGGAUUCCGCGCCCUUCUACUUUCAAAAUUAUAUCCCGUUCUGAUGUGUUGCUAGACGAUUCCACUGUGGAUUGUUUAAUUGACAGAGAUAGCAGGAAAUGGAAAGUGGAGUUGCUUCGGGAGCUUUUUUGGCAGGAUGAGAUUGAGCUGAUUAUGGGCAUUCCGUUGGGAGAUAGUCGCAAUCAAGAUAAGCUCAUAUGGCACUACUCUAAAAAUGGCUCAUUCACAGUGAAAAGUGCCUACCACCUCAUCAAAGCACACUCUACAGGCUGGCAAGAUGUAGCUUCAGGGAGUAAUGGCUCGGGGCAGGAUAUUUGGCCUCGUCUGUGGAAGCUCAACAUACCGAAUAAAGUUAAGAUAUUCUUGUGGCGUGUCUGCAAGGGUAUUCUACCUACCUCUUCCACGCUGAAUAGGCGUGGAGUCUACCUUGACCCUAUGUGCCUUUUGUGUAAGGCCCCUGUUGAAGAUGUGAAUCACCUCUUCUUGUGCUGUCCGGUAGCAGUUCAGGCUUGGGCCCUCAGCUUUCUUACGCUAAAGAUAAGGUUAGACUCCGCAAAGCAGGUCUCUUCUUGGUUGCCUAGCCUUCUGAAUCUCUUGAAGAAGCAGGACAUGGAAUUGGUAGCCAUAAUUCUUUGGAAUCUAUGGCUUAAUCGAAAUGGAGCUUUAUUCGAUGGUUCAUAUCGGGAUCCGCUCAGUCUAGUCUCACUCUCUAUCAGUUUCUUGCAGAAGUAUCGGGAAGCCAACACAUCUCCAAAUACUCCAAUCAGCACUACCACUGCUCUACUCCACUGGACAAAGCCCCCUGUGGGCUUCCUAAAGGCGAACUUCGACGGCGCAGUUUUCUCCGAAUAUGGCUACUCUGGUGUUGGAGUUGUUGUUAGGGACGCGGGGGGCAAUUUUGUUGCAGGAACUUCUCACAAAUUCUCUGGUAUCUUUUCUCCUGAGGUCAUCGAAGCCUAUGCUGCGAGAACUGCAAUUUCCUUGCUGCUUCAAUGGAAAGUGCCCAACAUUAUUUUGGAGGGAGACUCUUUGAAGAUCGUCAGCAUGCUUAAGCUUAUGGAGUCUGAUGACUCCGCCUAUGGGGUGCUAUUAGAUGAUAUCUUUGUUAGCUUACAGAACUUUGACGCUUGGGAGGCUAACUGGGUCCCUAGGAAGGCCAAUGUGCCAGCACAUUUAUUAGCUAGAAAUGCUCGUUCUAUUUCAGAUAGCUGUAGUUGGAGUUAUUCUCCACCAUCUUUUCUUCUCUCCGCAAUUUCGGCGGACCUAUCCUCACUUUAAUGAAAUUUUCUAUUGUGCUAUCAAAAAAAAAAACAUGUAUGAAGAUAUGAUAUCCCCUUACGGAGUUAAAUUUCAAAGAUGCUAUGGUAUCAUUCACUGCUACAUUAACCAACGUUCAUUCAACCCAAGAGAAAAGUAUAUCUUUCUGCUUCUCAGCCAUGUAAAAGUUAAAAUCUUAGGAGUUGUCUAGGAUGAUCUAGGUAGUCUAUUACUUUAAAAUUUUCCAUAAAAUUUGCAAAUAUGCAUGAUUGGCAAUUUUUCUUUUUUACUUUGGCAUAUAAUUGAAAGUAGUUGUUUUGAUUUUUAGAGGAGCAAUAGAAUUUUGGACUCAAAGAUUAAAGUUCUUAUGCUUCAAAGCAUCUUCCAAGUCGAAUUGCACUGAAUUUUUUACUGUUCAAGCUCCAUUCUAUUUAAUAUUUGAUGGGUUUGAGCUUGAUUUAAAAGCACAAAAAUUUAUUUAAUUCUUUGAUUUUUAAUAUUAAAUUAUCACUAAUACAUAUGAUAUAUAAUAAAUAUAUAAUUUCAUAUAAAUUAUUAACAAAUAUUUUAAAUAAAAAUAUAAAAAAUUAUUCAAAUUGAAUCAGACCUUAACGAGCUGAAUAUCUAUAAGUUUGACUUCGAUUAAAUACCAUAAAUGAAUCCUAAUUCCUACUCAAAAUAUAACUCAAGUUUAUUAAAAAUCAAAUUUGAAUCAGAUUCUUAACGAAUUGAGGUCAAAUGCUUCAUUAAAAGUACGAUUUGUUUAUAGUCCUGAUUUCGUAUGCUAGCGUUGACACUAAUAAGGGACACAAAAUCAAUGUAGCCCAACUAGAAAAUCAAUUAUUUGACAAAAAAAAACUAGAAAAUCAAUUUCUUCCUAAACCUUUUCGUUUUUUUUCCCUCACAAAAUUGAGGGAGCCCGAAACAGAAAACUCUAAAAUUCUGAGUUGUAAAAAUAAAAAGAAAAGAAAUUAAAAUUCCAAACUCCAAAAUAGGCGCCAGGCGGUUUGUCGGUUACCGGAAACAAAAAAGUUAUUUUGAAACACCCCAGAAACAUUUGUAAGUUUUCAAAAAACGGAAAAAACUAUUUUAACCAAAAUUGUUGCAGAAACAUUCAAGAUUUUGAUCUCAAUCUCCAAUUUUCCAUGUCUUUGAGCACUUUCAAGGAGACCCUUAAGCCGUGCAAAAACAACCCAUCUGCAUCAUCCUCUUCUUCUUCAUCUUUUUCUUCAAUUUCCCACAAUUUUGACUCUUCCAUAAACCCUAGGAAACCCCCCAAAUCUUCACUUUCUCAGCAGCUUUUGCGCCUUCAACACCAAGAGUCCACCUUCUAUUUGCCUCGGACUCAGCUAAAAAGCCCAAAAACAGAGACCCUUUUGGGACCUGAAGCUGAAGAUAAUGAUGAUGAAGAAGAAGUGGAGGAGGAAGAAAAGCAAGAUAGGAUUUUUAGGCCAAAGAUGGAGUCUUUUCAGUUUGAUCAUACUGGACCUUUUGAACCAUUAGUUCUCUCUUUACCUGGUGAAAUUUCUGUGGUUCAGGUGAUUUGUGGAUAUCCCAGUAUGUUAAAGCAUUUCAUACUGGCAUUUUCCUUUUCGGCUUCUAUGAUUUCAAUUUUUAUAGCUUUUAUAGAAUGCGAUGAAGAUCAAAACCUGGCAUGUAGCCCAGGGGAAAGGUUUCUCUCGUUUUUCGAGUAAAAUAAUGGUUUAUGUAAAUUCUUCUUCAUUUGUUUUCUAAAGAUAAUCAAAGAAGACUUCUAAAUGUGCAUUAGAAGAAGGAAAUACAUGUACUAAGAUUAGUAUUUGUUGUAUUAAAUUAGUUAUAUUGGAGAUUAAUUUGCUUACAUCUGCUUGUUGUAAAUGAUAGUUCGACCUUGUCUUUUGUAUUAAGAGCUACUGCAACGUGUUAAAGUAUAUUUGUUUUAUGUCGAGUGUUUUUAAUUUCUACUUCCAAUUUUAUUUUGCACUAGUUUUCCUAAUGAAUUAGUUAUUGGCUAUUCUUUUGACGAUUGAUGAUGGAGGACUAGUAAUGAGUUGGUAAUUGUUGUAGUGUAUAAAGAAUGCUUUUCCUCCAUGCUCAUAUAGUUUUAGUCUAUAGGAUUAAUCAAUACGUGUGUGAAUUUCCUAUUAGCUAGAAGAAUAUGUCAGCGGUAAGAGGGAUUUGAUUUCCUCCACAACUGGGUGAAGUAUUGGCAGAUUUAGGGUACUGUCUUCUAUUUGGUGUUUGAACUUGAAAUCUUUGGAAAAGUUUUUUCCUUCUUUUUCUGAAACUGACAUUUGAAAAUUCUUCAAGUUCUGAUUUUGGACAUCUUCUGCUGUUACUUGAAUUAGUUGGUUCCUGCUUCUUGUUUCUGUAUGCCUUCCUUUUUUCUUAUUACUAUUCACUUUUUUGUUCCUUCAUGGAUUUUAAAUUGUUGUAGUGACAGUCAUCUACUUUUUCCCUACCCAACAAAUUUGAUAUAGUGAGCCCCUCUUUGUGAUGUUUCAGACCAUUAUGUAUUCAUUCUUGAGGCUUAAUGUAUAAGUGCAAAAUGUUAAUUUGUUUUUACAGGUACCCGCAUCUAUUAAUUGCAGACUCUUAGAACAUCAGCGAGCUGGUGUUAAAUUUUUAUAUAAUUUAUACAGAAACAAUCAUGGAGGUGUUUUGGGAGAUGACAUGUGAGUUUAAAUUUUCUUUCCAGAUAUUUUCCUUGAUUGAGUGGACUUUGAAUUUUAUUGCUGUGACUUCCAAUUGAGACAAUGUCUAAUAGGACAUUUUGUUUGCUCUUUCCUUUUUGGUUUGCAGUUCUGUCGGUCAUCACAUCCUGUCUUUUUUUUUUUUAAUUGGUUGGAAAAGGUAGAGAAGGACACAAGUAUUUAAAUAAGGUUAAUUAGUAUACAAGAAAAGCAUAUAAAGAUGUAGAGACUAGUAUCUUUUCCUUGUUCUGCUACAAAUAAACCAAAUUUUGCUUCUGCAUCCUCUCUCCUGCUCUGCAUUGGUUAAUUUGAAAUGAUUUUGCUGCACUAGACUUGGAAAACGCUUAUUGAGGAGUAUUGUCUGAUAAUGCUUUAUCCAACCUUCUCAUUAAGAAGUGACCCCUUUUUACAUUGUUUCUUUUUUGUUAUUAUUAUAAAGUUUUCAGAAUUGUCUGAUGAAGAAUAUAGAUUCUUAAGUUAGUACUGAAUCAUCACUUUCGUAAAUCCCAUUGAACUUACUAACUCAAUCAUCAAACUUUGGUUAAUCCCAUUGAACUUAGUGUUACUCCUAAUUAUUUUCUAAUAUCAUUUUCUUUUUCUGAGUCAAAAACUCUUGUUUAUCAGGGGAUUGGGCAAGACAAUCCAGACAAUUGCAUUUUUGGCUGCUGUUUUUGGAAAGGACGAAGAAGCUGAUUACUUAACAUCAUUGAGGGGAAAUCAGCCUGAGAAGAAUGGCUGUGUUCUAAUUGUUUGUCCGACAUCUGUUAUUCACAACUGGGAGAAUGAAUUUUCAAAGUGGGCACCGUUCUCUAUUGCUGUUUAUCAUGGACCUAACCGUGAUUUAAUAAUUGACAAACUAGAAGCUCGAGAAGUGGAGAUAUUGAUAACUAGUUUUGACACCUACAGAAUUCACGGUACUAUAUUGUCAAAAGUUCAAUGGGAGAUAAUGAUUGUUGAUGAGGCACACAGGCUAAAGAAUGAGAAGUCAAAACUUUAUAGAGCAAUUUUAGAGAUUAAAACCCAGAAACGAUACGGUUUGACAGGAACAAUCAUGCAGAACAAACUAAUGGAAUUGUUCAAUUUGUUUGAAUGGGUGGUACCCGGUUGCUUAGGAACACGUGAACAUUUCAGGGAGUUUUAUGAUGAACCUCUCAAGCAUGGCCAAAGGUCAAGUGCUCCAGAAAGAUUUAUUAGAGUUGCUGAUGAUCGAAAACAGCACUUAGUGACAGUAUUACGCAAGUAUUUGUUGAGAAGGACCAAGGAGGAAACCAUCGGGCAUCUUAUGAUGGGAAAGGAAGAUAAUGUUGUAUUCUGUGCCAUGAGUGACUUGCAGAAACGGGUAUACCAGAGAAUGUUACAGCUGCCUGAUAUCCAGUGCCUUAUUAAUAAGGACCUUCCAUGUAGCUGUGGUAGCCCUCUGAAACAAGUAGAGUGUUGCAAAAAGAUAGUGCCCAAUGGAGUCAUUUGGCCAUACCUUCACAGAGAUAAUCCAGAUGGUUGUGAUUCAUGUCCUUUUUGCCUUGUUCUCCCUUGCCUUGUCAAGCUUCAGCAGGUAAUUGAUUUUCUUAUUGUACCUUCAGAUAUUCUGCUUGUAAGGUGCUCUAAGACAUUAGAGCUAUUAAAAGAAACUGAUCCCUUGCAAGGGCCAACUAUAGCUUUUUUACCUUUAUUUCUCCGGUCGAAUGCAUUUUUUCAUGGUCAAUAGGAUUAGAGGUGAUGGUUGACUACCACCACUUACAGUUAUAUCUUAUAAUCACUUGAGUAAGGCCAUGUGGCUACCGUUUUGCUUAAGAUAUGAAUGUAAAAACUGGUUUAGGACAGAGUGUUUAUCAAUUAAUAACAAAAGUAGUGGUAGCUUCAGGAUUGAUCAAGUGAAUUGAAUGAAAGAAAGACCUCCCAUCAUACCAAUGGUUUUUCCCCCCGAUUUUUGCUGCUAUAUAUAUAUAUUAUAUUUUAUCUUUAUUUAACACUUGUCUGAUAGGUGAGUAAUCACUUAGAGCUCAUCAAACCAAAUCCAAAGGACGAUCCUGAUAAACAAAGAAAAGAUGCAGAGUUCGCUGCUGCUGUAUUUGGUACAGACAUUGAUUUGGUGGGAGGACAUACCCAGGAUGAGAGUUUUAUGGGUCUAAGUAAUGUCAAGCAUUGUGGUAAGAUGAGGGCUCUGGAAAAAUUAAUGUUCUCAUGGCUUUCCCGGGGUGACAAGGUCCUACUUUUCAGUUACUCUGUCAGGUAGAAGUUUAAAGCUUUACAUUUGAUUAGCCUUUAAUUCUUGUUUAUGCAUUUUUUCAUAACUUUACUGCAUGUAGACUAUAGUUCCAGUUUCCCUUCUCAGGUGCCAAAAAUUUGCAUGUGCUGCUCAAAGUUUCCAGCGUAUGCUUUACUGGCUCCUGAAAAAAAAUUUCAAGGAUCUUGAAUGCGACUUGUCUGCUAAAAUAAACUUUAGCAAGUCGUUAUCUUUUCUUCUUUUCUCAAUUUUGUUGUUUUUUUGGGUUUCUUCUUCCUUAUGGGGUGCCCAAUGGGAUCGGGCACGGUUUUGGUUUAACGGAUGGAACUUCACUCUGUUGUUUUGGAAAAGAAAAGAGAAAGCUACUCUGUGGUUGAUGUUUUAAAAUAAUAUAUGGAAAUCAGAAUUUUACUUGGAAGCUAUGUUAUCUGUUAAGUUUUGGUCUUUAUUGGUCUUAGAAUAAAUUAGUUGUACUUAAAUGUUCUUGAUGUUUUGAAAUAGGACUUGCAGGUAAUGUCCCUGCAAUGAAUUGGCUCUUUGCACCAUAAUGGAUGAAGAAUCUACACUUAGCUCUAAACACUUCUAAGAGUUGAGACAGCUUGUCAUUGCCCUCUUAUUCUUUUAAUGUUUUUCUUUUGAGCAGAAUGCUGGACAUACUUGAAAAGUUCCUUAUACGCAAAGGCUGUUGCUUUUCAAGACUUGAUGGAUCUACUCCGACUGGAGUACGCCAGUCUCUUGUUGAUGACUUCAACUCAAGUCCAAGCAAACAGGUUAGUUUUGACAUUUGGAGUCAGUUUUGAUACUUUGAGACUCAAUUUUGUAAUUUUACAUCUUAAUUGCAGGUCUUCCUCAUAUCAACUCGAGCUGGUGGGCUUGGACUCAAUCUUGUUAGUGCAAAUCGUGUAGUGAUCUUUGACCCAAAUUGGAAUCCUGCCCAGGAUUUGCAGGCACAAGACAGGUCAUUCCGUUAUGGGCAGAAGCGGCAUGUCAUUGUUUUCCGUCUUCUUGCAGCCGGUUCUCUAGAGGAACUAGUUUACACCAGGCAGGUUUACAAGCAACAACUAGCGAAUAUUGCUGUUUCUGGGAAAAUGGAGAAACGUUACUUUGAUGGUGUGCAGGUACUGUUGCUGAUUUUCUGAUUCUGUGCACAGUUGUCUUCUUAUAUCAUAGUCGUGAUCAUUAAGACUUGGGGUCCUUGAUCCCACUUUUCAGGAUUGCAGAGAAUUUCAAGGAGAGCUGUUUGGUAUCUGCAAUUUGUUCCGCGACCUGUCUGAUAAGCUUUUCACCAGUGAAAUAAUUGAAUUGCAUGAAAAGCAAGGAAUAGAGCAUGGAGAUUGUGAGAGUUCAAAGCAGAUUUUUACUGAACUUCAGAAGUGUUUUCUUCCACAGAAGGAAUUAACUAAUACGUCUGCGGAAGCAUCUCAGAACAGCAAACCUAAAGAUGCAGGUAAAGAACCGGUCGAACCAGUACUCGAAGAAUUGGGUGAGUGUAUUAUUUGUCGACUUGGGUUUGAAAAGUUGAAGUACCUCUACUGAUGCGAUGCCCUCUUAUGUUCCAGUAAUAUUCUUUUCCUUCAGUUUUUUCUUAGCAAAAGGUUUGCCAAAGUAUCUAUUAGAACGUAAUAGGCUGGGUCUAGUUUGUCACAGUGUAACUUAUGCUGUAAUAUUCUGUUCAGGUAUUGUAUACGCCCACCGAAAUGAAGAUAUUGUUAAUUACGGACCCGGGAUUCAAGGAGAUAAAGAAUUGGAUACGAAUUUAAGGUACACUGUGCAACAUUCACUUCUUGUUGUUGCCAGGAAGAGGAAAUCAGAAGCAGUAGCAGGUAGCAAAAAUACUAUAGAAAAUGCUGCUUCAUCCAAGAUGAGGAAAAAGAGCCAGUAUAGCCUCCUUGCUCAGUUCAUGGGUAUGGGGGAAGUAGAUUUCAGUAAGUGGUUACUUUCAGCGAAUCCAGAAGAACGGGAGAAAGUGCUUCUGGACUAUAAGAGGAGAAAGGAUAAGAUUCCAAAUGGCUGAUAUCUCCCCUCAUCAGGAAGGCAGAGUUUUUGUAAUGCAAAUUGUAACACGUUUCAGGCCAAAUUAACUCUGAAGCCAUAUCCUUCUGGGCUCACUGUAACAUACUGUAAGAUCAAUAAAUCUUUCCCAAAAUAUGGAAGUCGGUUGCUGUAAUUUCUUCAUUUGGGACUUUAGCCGUGAGUCGCUGUAUGCAUUUGUUUACUGACGUCUGGGUUAAUUCUCUUGAUCCGUUAAUCUUCUUGGAAGUUUUUUCAGAGCAUACUAAUUGGUGCACUUGGAAGACGAGUUUGAAACUCUCUCUCUCUUACAAAAACAUCUACCUUCUAGUGCGAAAUUCAGUGAUAUCUUCUUCCAUAAACUUAAAAUCCAUUGAGAGGCUCUCUCCAUUAAAAAGUUUGGAAGCUAUUGAGAGGCUCUCUCCUAAAAAUUCAUUCUGCAAUACACAUAGAUAUAGAUUCUUUUAUGAUGCUUCCAUUGGAAUUUAUAUUCUUGCUCCUUGUGAUUCUCUUAUCGAGCUGAUAUAUUUCCAUCUAUUCAGUAGAUGGGAAUAGUUUGAAUCCCAGGCCCUCCACAUUCAUGAGUGGUGCCGUGAGUUAGCAGUUUCUUUAUGAACAUGUGCUGGUGGAGACCACGAUUUGGAUGUAUGGCAAGGCAUUGGAAGAUAUUGCAGGAUCUUGUCUGGGCACACUUAGUAAUAGGUAUAGACCAUUAUGAGCAUAUAGAGGUUGAAAUAUCAAUGUUGGGCAAAACUUUCCAUCCCUUUUCUUUAAUUUUUCACACCCUUUCUGAGAAUCUUUUACUCCUCCCUUCUCUUGAGUUCCAAGAUCCUGUUUGGCAAAUAAAUUUUUGAUCAAAUUUAUUUAUUACAAAAUUUUUAGCAAAUUUAAUUAUAAUGAAUUUAAAAGAUUUUUCAAAGUUUAUAAAUUAUGCAUUUUAAAAUAUCUAAAAUUUUUUCCUACAACUUCUAUAGCGAGUUACAGUAAAAUUUUAGAUAAAUACUCAAAAAGUUCAUUUGUCAAACGAGUCCCACGUUGCAUCGAAGACUUUUAUACCAUUCUAGCUAUUGUUAUCAUAAGUACCAUUUUUUUGCAUUAACAUGUGAAGACCCAACCAAAAGCCAUGGAAAAGAAAAACAAAAAAAAAUAAAUGGAAGAUACAUGCUGCUGCAUUGCUUCUUUUUUUCUUUUUUUUUUUUUCUGUUUUUAACACUUCUCUCCAGCGUUAGGCAAUGAAUUAUGAGAACAUUGGGGGUAAUGUAAUGUAAGCAUAGAGGCACAGAUAAGUUUUGUCACAUGUGCAGAGAUGAUUGAAAAUGCAUUACUCGAUUGCAAGUGUAGUAGUAACUUUACCCAAAUACAUGAAUGCUGCCACGAAAACAAAAAGUUGGUUCGGUCCUACCUCAUUUAACGUCUAUGGACUCAAUUAUUUCAAUGGUACCCACGAGCCGUGUGGUCCUGAAUUGGUCGUUGGACAUCAUCUCUAGUCUUUUCUUGGAGCAGUACAUUUCGUUUUGGAAAAAGAUGAAAUGAAAGAUAAGUAAUGGAUUCCCUGCUUUGUAACGCUAGCUGUUGAAUGUUGACUAUGUCUGCCUGCAAAAAAUAUUAGUUCAACUAUUCAACUUCAAACAAAGCACUUUACGUUCAUCUGUUAAAGAGUUUCACAGUCGAUGGCUGAAGCUGUACUUAGUUUUGUUAGUGUGAUCUUGGAUAAGAUACUUCCACUUGCUGCCGAUGAGAUCAGCCGGGCAUGGGGUGUAAAGAAAGACCUUCAGAAGCUUGCCGACGAUGUACGGACGAUGGAAGCUUUGAUUUUUGAUGCUGAAUGCAAGCAAUCAACAACCAAAGCCACCAAAGCCGUGCAGCUCUGGCUCAAAAGGCUCCGGUCUAUAGCACGUGAUGCUGAGAUCGUGUUGGAUGACUUCAGAUAUGAAGUUCUGCGGCAGAAGGUUAAGAAUCGGAAGCGCGACAAGGUACGCAACUUCUUUUCUUCCUCAAAUCCUAUUUCCUUUCGUAUAGAGAUGGCUAACAAGAUCAAGAAUGUUAGCGCAUCUCUAGAGGAAGCUUACAGAAAAGCAGAUCAGAUCGGGCUUCAACCAGUUCAACUACCCAUGUCAUCUGCUGAUCACAAACAGGAUCGGUCGACUGAUCCUUUUGUGGACGAGUCACAAACGGUGGGAAGGGAGGUUGAGGUAUCUCAAGUUGUGAGCACGUUAAUUAGCUCAGACUAUAAGAAGGAUUUACCCGUCAUCUCAAUAGUUGGGAUGGGUGGGCAGGGUAAGACAACCCUUGCACAGCUGGUGCUAAAAGAUGACAGUGUAGUGAAGCACUUUGAUAAAACAAUAUGGGUGUGUGUGUCUGAUGAUUUCAAAGUGGGAAGGCUGUUGAAUAAGAUGCUACAAUCCCUUGAGGGAAAAAAUGCUGAGAUGACAAACACGGAAGCAUUGGUGAGGCAGCUUCAAGAAAAGCUGAAAGGAAAAAGUUACUUGCUGGUGCUUGAUGAUAUUUGGAAUGAGGAUCGAGAGGAAUGGGAUGGCAUGAGGAGACGUUUGUUGGCAAUAGGGGGUGCUCCAGAAAGCAAAAUAUUGGCUACCACACGUAGUGAUGAGGUAGCCUCAGCAAUGCAAACAUCUCAUUUGCAGCGUCUGGACAUCCUCUCAGAUGAUUAUAGCUGCAUGUUGUUUGAAAAUCUAGCUUUUGCAGACGGUGGUGCAAGAAGGACUCAAGAUCUCGUGGACAUUGGCAGAAGGAUACUGAAAAAGUGCGGCGGGGUGCCAUUAGCGAUCAAAGCGAUUGGGGGUUUGUUGUGUUCCAAAAAGGAUGCCUCGGAAUGGUUGACGAUCGAGAAGAGUGAAAUAUGGAACGAGUCGACCAAUAUUGCAAAUCGAGUCAUGUCUGCCCUGAAGCUGAGUUACGAGAACUUACCUUCAUGGUCAGUGAAACAAUGCUUUGCAAGUUGUUCCAUCUUCCCCAAGGACGCUUUCAUGGAAAAAGAAAGCUUGAUACAGAUUUGGAUGGCCCAGGGACUGAUUAAUGAUGCCAAGGGAGGAGGUCAUUUGCAAAUGGAGGAUAGAGGUAGUGACUAUUUCAACGUAUUGCUUCGGAGUUCUUUGUUGCAAGCUACUUCUGAAAAUUCCACUAACAGAUUCAUGUCCUGCAGGAUGCACGACCUUGUGCAUGAUCUUUCACUGCAAGUGUCAAAUAAUCGUUUCUUCAAUACAGAGGAUGGCAUGGAAGUCAGUCAUGAUGAUGAAGUUAUGCAUUUGACCAUCAUUGGGAGUCAAGGGAAGGUGUUAAAGAAUAUCGAAGGGAUUCCUCCAAAUUUGCAAACGCUUUAUUAUCUUGGGGGUGAUGGUAUUAUGCUCGAAGACAUCUUGGAAAGGUCUAGAUACCUUUCUGUAUUAAAAGUAGAUUGCUUGGAUGUUACUCAUCUCCCGAAUGCAGUGGGUAGUAUGAAACAUUUAAGACAUCUUGAUAUCAGUCAAACUGCAAUCGCCGCUCUGCCAGAGUCGAUCAUAAAGCUCUACAAUUUGAUGACCUUGAAAGUGUAUUACUUGAAAGAGAUACCUACGAAGUUUAGCAAUUUAAUUAACUUGAGGCAUCUCGAGUUUUCCAUGGGUUUUAGGGAUCGGCCCCCAUAUUUGAUCCCUGGGAUUGGGCAGCUGGCUAAUCUUCGGACGUUGCCCUACUUCGUGGUAAGCCAAGACAAGGGAUGUCAGCUUGAGGAGCUGGAACACUUGCGCAACCUCCGAGGCGAGCUAAAAAUUUUUGGACUUGAGAAUGUGAGCAGCUUUGAAUCGGCAGCAAAAGCAAAGUUGUCCGAAAAAUCAAGCAUUCAAAGUUUAACACUUGAAUGGGAUGAUACAAAUGAAGAUUGCGAUGACGACAAUAUCAAUAGUGUCAUGGAAGGUCUCCAACCUCGCCCAGACUUGAAAAGUUUAGCCAUUAAUGGUUUUAAAGGUUCAAGGUUUCCGUCGUGGAUGGUGGCAAAGGAUCACUUGAUGGUACUCCUAAGGAAUCUGGUACACCUCAGGUUGGAGAAAUUGGCUAGGUGUGAACAAGUACCAUCACUAGGGGACUUGCCUUGUCUCGAGUCCUUACAGAUGGUCUCCUUACACAAUGUGAAGCGCAUUGGGGCUGAAUUCUAUGGUCUCGAUAUUAAUGCAAGGCGCAGCGCUUCUUGUAGUAAUAGAGAUGGGAAACCAGUCACUCUGUUUCCGAAACUGUCGAGUUUUGCGCUGUGCGACAUGAAAAGUCUGGAGGAGUGGUCAGAUGCAACGGUUCCCUCGGAUUCUCCUUCAUCAAUUAAGGUAUUCCCUAGUCUCCGGGACCUGAGAAUCUCAGGGCUCCCCAAGUUGGCUUUUUUACCAGAUAUGGAGAACUUGACGUCUGUUACGGAGUUGAGGAUAAGGGAAUGCAGAAGUCUGGCUUGUCUAAGGAAUUUGAAUAGCCUCACAUCUCUGGAAUCCUUAUGUUUAGAUGACUGCCCUGCUUUAUUAGAUGCUUCUCUAGAUAUGAAAAACCCCCAAUCCCUACAUGAAUUAACCAUCUCAGGAUGUGAUAAGUUGAAUCCUUCAUUGAGUAAUAAUCUUGAGAAGUUCACAUCGCUCGAGUGGUUGACGAUCCGUUCUCAUGACCCUGGUUCUUGGCCAAUUAUGGGUCUACACCAUCUAGCCAACCUCAGAUCGUUGGAACUCGGUGGUCGCUUCUCUGACAUCCUUGACCUUGAUCAUUUCCCGUGGCCACACUCCAUCACCAAUCUCGUCUCUCUGGAGCAUCUUGAUUUGCGUGGAUGGCCAAAAAUCACGUCUCUCCCAGACCAAAUUCAGCAUCUCUCUACCUUGAGACAGUUACAGAUACGGGAGUUUGAGGGGUUGGAAGUUCUUCCAGAGUGGAUGGGUAGCCUUCGGAAUCUUCGCUUAUUGUGGAUUGCUGAUUGCUAUAACCUCAGACAGUUGCCCUCUGCAGAAGCAAUGCGACACCUCACCAAUUUAAAUCAACUGAGUAUCGCCAGCUGUCCUCUUUUAGCAGAGAGAUGCACCAAAGGAAUGGCGCAGAGUGGCCCAAGAUUGCACACAUUCCCGGUGUUUUAAUCGAUUGGCUGAUGCCCGUGUAACCGGUUUCGCACUAGGGAAACAAAGCCCCUGUAACUGUAAGUAGUUAAUAUUUCGAAUGUUCUGUUUUAAUCUACUUAUUCGGUUUGUUUAGAAUUCUAUUAGUAGUACUUUUUUUUUUCUUAUAUAUAAUCCCCGGAAGGAAAAAGGAAAUAAAAAACGCUACUGCUUCCUUUUAAAUUGCCAUAUCCUUGGGUUCCCUUGGGUUUACAGCUGGACCUGGAUAACAUCCUUUAUUUCAGGAAGCUCCAAACCCUUCUCAGUUGGUUUACUGGAAGCUUGAGGUCCACCGUGUGAUGGAUCAUCUGAAAGAAGAAAAUGGCAAGAGGAACUUAGCAACAAAGAUGAAUUGAAAAUAUUAUUGUUAUCAGGAGUAUAAGCCUACAAAUAGCAGUUGGCAAUUCAGAGGAUCGCAAGGAUAACAAGCGGACAGCAAAUACCCCAGAAUCUACCGCUUGUGAAUUAAGUUAUUUACUAAAACAUAAUUGAGUGUAAACCCAGACCCAUUCUGAAGAGGCAAACCGCUUUGAUAAUCUGGUAAUUCAAACAACACAUAUGCACAAAACUCACCUUGAUGCACAGAUAUCACCUUUGAACCAUACACCUGCAUAUCACAGUUGCAAAUUGUCAAAAACAAAAACUCACACAUCCCAUCAAAUUUUGUCCAGCAAGAAUAUCGCAACGACGAAAACCAAAAAUGGAUGUGUUUGUGCACGUGCGCGCUUGAGAGAAAGAGAGAGAGAGAGGACAUGGUUCCUUCCAACGAAUGCUUUGGGUGGUCUUCCUAGAAUGAUCUGUAAAGUGACUUCGCUACAUGAAACUACUUAAUCAUGUACUUUCCUGGCAAUUGGCAAGUAAAUGAAACUUGGUGUAGUUUCCUCUGCCAUUAUAUGUUCAAUCCAUAAUAUAAAAGGAAUUAAAGUGUAAUCGCUUAAUACCCCUGCUUCAUCAUCUCUUUUAUCUGUAGUGUGAUCUAGAUCAUCCUCAUCCUCUUUAUCUUCAUCAUCCUUUUCAGCUUCUUCUUCAUUUCAAGUUCAGCAAUUCUGGAGAAUAUACGAGCAUAUUCAUCAUCUUGAUUUUCACUUCUGGUAGUUUCGGCCUCAGAUGAACUGGGAAAAUCAGCUUUUGAUUCACCUGAAAAUGUUCAAGGAGUAACAAAAAUUUGUCGACGUUAUAAUGCCAGUUGCAAUACAAUUUUUGUUUACCAUAAGUUAACUAACUUAAAAGAAGGCAAAAACUUCUCAUGAAUGAGAAGCGCUUUUGGAAGAAAACUAAUGAUGAAGGUUAAGAUAGCGAAAACAUUCAGGAGGAGGAAAGGCAAAUCUACAUGGUUCUAUAGCCAAAUUUGCAAUGGAAAUGCUGCUAAUCAGUAUCUGCACCAAAGCUCCUAAAAUAAUUUGGACUUGGGUCCUCAUCCCAUUAAACUGGUAUGAUGAUGAAGAAAUUAUCCAUCACUCCCUCCAUGAAAUUUUAUAUGGCUUGAUAUGGCCAAAUCUCACAAAUUUUUUCUAAAUGAUGUCUGACUAAACAAAAUAUUGAAACAUUGUCCAGGUUACCCUGCAAUCUGACUAGACAAAGGAAAUUAGUUUUUUGGACACAAAAUUAGUCUUUUGGUAGUAAGAAUAACUGGCAUCCAACUAAGUUUUUCGCUUCUCAAUGAAAAGAUGAUCAUUCGCUGUCAUCCAGGGAGCUUGCUUAUUCUUACACGGAGUCUCUAAAUGUCUCGUGUCUACAAUUUGUAUGAUGAAAUAGAUCAGCCAUGGUCUACAAAAGUUGUUCUUCCUCAGCAACAAACAUGUCUACAAAUCAUUUGAGAUCUUCACAGAUUUUAUCCAAGCUUUGGCACUCUCAUGUCUAGAACUUUUAAAAAGUUUAAUUAAAAAAGAAAAAUCCAGACCGGACAUCCUUUCAAUGUGUUUUCAACACUUAGAAUCGUGAGAGAUACAAAUUAAAAUUUUUAAGAACUAUUGCAUUUGAAAGAAACAUUAAACUCACUACCUGCCUGCUCAAAGCGGACUAUAAUCUUCAUUGACAAGCUAAAAAGAAGAAGACCUGCCUGCUUUAGAUGCCUCAGCUAUAGGAUUUUCCUCCACAUAGUCUUCAACUAUUUCUACAGGAUCAUCCUGUCAAAAUGACCUGAAAAAUUAAACCAAAUAAUGAUCCAUGUUGUCAACGACAGUGAAUAGAAAUCUAAAGAAAUCCCCUAUGGCCAAUGCAGGUGAACAGGCUUACCGCUGCCUCAUUAGCCAUAGCAUUAAAAAAAGAAGCUUCGGUUUUAAGGUCCUGAAUGUCAGCCUUGAAAGAUUCAACUUAAGACUCUAGAAUUUUUCCUCUGCUUUUCAAAAUUUCAACUGUUUGUUUGGAUGUUCUUUCUGCAUGGUAUGCAUCUCCAAGGAGAAACCGACAAAAGUUAUUGCAUUGAUUAUUCACUUUUCUUUUGAUAGGUAAAUAACUAAGGACAAACAUCGACUAGGAGGCUAUCACUUCUCUUGAUUCCUCAACCACGAUGUGCACAGAAACAAACGAUGAUCCAGUGCAAAUAGGGCAUCGUGGAAACAAAUUCCUUUAAGUUAUCAGUUCCUGCAAUCGCAGAAGCGCACUGCAUUACACACCUCUCUUAAGCGGUAGUAACCAACAACUUAAAAAUGACUAUCACAUUUUAUAAUUGUCCUGAGGUAGCCACAAAUUGACAUUUCCUUUCCCUAAUGUUUAUAAACAGUACUGAUUAGCUCAACAAUCUUUUAAUCCCACAAAGCAACAACUAAGCACAAUCGGGAAAAAAGCCCAUCAAAUAACUGAAGUUAGGCAUGUCAAAAACUCACAUAAAUUCAAAAUACUUGAUAUUAGGAUUCAUAAAAACCCUUGAUUCGUUUGUAGACCCAAUUAAAAGAAGAUUCUUAGAGUCUUUUAUGUUGUCAAAUUAAGGAUUCAAAUUUCAUGGCACAAUUUAUUUUGGGCAGAAUGGUUUAAAAAAUUGAAAAUGUAUUAUAGUUCAAAAAUAAAAAUCGCCUGAGAUGAAUAUAGUUGAUGGUUUCCUACUUUCACAUGUUUACUAUCAAGAGUCAGAAGAUACUACUAAUCUCGGUUUCUCUCCUCUUCUCAAUUCCUCUCAAUAAAAUCAUUUUUAUAUUAAUUUGCCACUCAUUUUCUUUUAUAAUUUUUUUUCAGAAUGAGUAAAUUUUCUCCACGCGAAUUUUGAAUUCACUUGUAAAUCCAUUUAUUGGGAUAAACACUAAUUUUGAAUAACGAGUUUAAAAUUGCAUCAUCCUAUAUUCAAACAAUUUGCAAGUAGCCAUGUAUUUCUUAUUCUCAAACCCAACCCUCUAGCCUCUAAUACAUUUUUUUUUAAAACGGCAAAAAUAAAUCUCAUUUAUGAAAGAGAGACACUAGCAAAAACUUAUGGUCUUGUGCAGGUCGGGGAAUGAUUGUCACAGUUUACCAUUUUGGAUUGCAAUUUUUGGAACUUUUUGUACGAAAAUAUACAAUAAUUCAAGAAAAUAUGUAAGAAAAUAUUCUAUGAAAUUCAAGAACUUUUUCCACGAACUAAUCCUUUUCACUACAACUUUUUAUAAUAAUAAAACUACCUCAAUUCUCAAAUCCCAAUUGUUUGACAAAGGUAAGAUUACUAUAUUAUGUAAAAAUUACUAUACCAUCGAAAUCUGAGUUUUGGCAUUCAAUAGCCAUGGGCAUGUGCAUGGACCUAAGCUUUUAGGAACAUAUUUAGAGGAUUCACAAACAUAUAUGGUAAAAGUUUAUUUAGAUUGUUAUUUUUUGAAGUUUUUUGUAAAAAAAAAUAUAUUGUAACGAUAAUGCAUAUAAGAUUAAAAAGUGAUUGAAAAAUAUAUUUAUGAAAAAUAUAAUAUUUUUUGGAAGAGAGAUACCAAUCCAAACAAAGUAAUUUCUUUCAAAGGAAAUUCAGUUUUAUAGUGCAUUCUCCGUUUUAUAGUAUGGUUUCCCAAAAAAUAUCUGUUUCCUUCAAGCUACUUUUAUAACUCCUUUUGGAAGUCGCUGGAAAAUUAACUGGACUUUCUAUUUCAUCAUUUUGACUUGUAAAAUACACGCGCAACACCUACUCCUCUCUUCAUCACGCAUUGAAAGUUUCUAUGCUGCAAUCUAGUAAGCAUGAUUAUACCGUUUAACUAGUUCAUUAAUAAAGUAUUCCAAUAUCUGUCUCCGACUAAAUUAUUAUUAAACAAAUAGUAAUAUCAGAAGCCCGUCUUUUCUGGCACUACAAUUUACCAGUGAAGGGUCUUCUUGUUGUUAAAGCUUAAAACCCAGAGAAACAGCAAGAAUCCUGCUCAAUCAUUUAUAACCUUUUUUUUUUCCUUUCCAAUUUCAAGUUUUGUUCUCUGAAUUAGUUUGUUGAGCUCUCACUUUCUUUAGAUUGAUCGGUGCCUUAAGCCGAUUAGUUGUUGGGAGGUCGUUAGUUAAGUGAAACAAUCCAUUGAUUUCAGUAUAAGCAACAACCCUUUUUCAAUUUUAGUUGGAAAAAUCUCCUUUUUAAGUGAAAUGGGAUCAUUUCUUCGUCUGGGUUUGUGGAAAAAAGCUUCAAGGAUAAGAAUUUAAGUUGCUUUUGAGAUGGGUUUGGUUGAAAGUUUAGAUUUUUAUCGGCUAAAGAGGGUGAAUUUGAGGUUCUCGUCAAGAAUCUGCUUUGGAUUGUGGUUAGCUUUUGCUGUUUUUCAUCCAGUUCUGGGGCUGCGGCCUUUAAGGGAGAGAAGUCAAUCAUGGGGUGAUGAGGUUAGUAUUGAAUUUUUGAAUGCUUUGUUUAUCCAAUUAUGGUUACAAAUUUUGGUCUUAGAUUAUCUAGUUAUGGUGUUUUGACCAAUUAAGCGUCUGUUUGGUUUUACUUUACAGAUUGACCUUUUGCCUUUCUGUUCUAUUUAUGGUGGUAAUGUUGAAUGUUUAGUAAAAGGAAAAGCCAUAAAUUGUGUGACUUGCUGGGGAAAUUAAUUUUCUUGACUAGUUUGUGUAUAAAAGAAGUAAUUUUGGUUUUUUUUUUUGGGUGAUAAAAUUUUUGGGAGUUUUCUAUUGCAAUCUCACUUUGGCAGCUGUUCGUGAAUUAUCAUUAUUUUUGUUUCAUAAGCAGCUGGCCGGGAUAUUUUAGAAUUUAGGUUUUGGAACCAUUAAUGUAGAAAUUUUUGCGUGAACAUUUGAGUAGCUUUCAGAGUGGAUGUAGGUGACGUGUUUACCUUUAUGUACAAUUGGCCACUUCAUAUUGGUCCUCGCUCAUAUGAGGGCAGCCUGAGAAUUGACCAGAUUGAGAAUCCGAGAGUAUGUAUAACAAAGGGUUUAGGGACUGAGUCUUCAUUUCAGCUCCUUAUUGACAUCUGUGUGGGUGAAUAAUUAUAGUUUCAAAGUGUUGGGAGGUAUGAAUUAGCACAAGGCACAGAUAUCAUCAUAAAUAACCACCUCCACAGUUGGAAGUACGCAACUAUCGAGAUUUCCGACUGGUGAUUUACUGUCUGUUUUCAGAAGGGCAUAGAGUGUUAAAUUGGAAGGUAUGCUGAAGGGAGUGAUACUGUGCUUGUCUUGCUUGAAUAUGAGUUAGUCUCUUAUGAGAGGCUGAAAGCAAAUAAAGCAUCAGAUUGACAGAAGAAUUCGUUCAAGGAGGUUCUUCAUGAUCACUCCUACUGAGAACUAGACGAAACAAAAGAGCUAGUGGAAGAGUUAAUUUUGUGUAAAGAUUGGUUCACUUGCAUGAUAAACUUGGAGGUUGUGGAUCAGAUGUAUUCCCUUUCAUUGAAUGAAGCAUGUAUGUAUGUUCAGACAAACUGUUUUUUUUUUUUUUGGAUGGAGUUCUUUCUUUAAUUUGUCUUUUGAUAGAAUUCAUAUGGCCUAGUUGCUGGAUGUUAUGAACCAACCUGACAAUUUAUAGCGUGAAACUCAGGCGUGGGCUCAUCCUUGUGAAGUCACCGACUUAAUCAGUCUGAAAGUUUCUGUCAUUUCUUUUUCAUUCCCCCACAGAGGUCUAUGGAUUGUGAAAGGUUCCACCUCUGUUUAUGUCAAUAUUGGACACAGACCAAAUGUUAAGGAAGAAUAAGUAGAGGUUUUGUAUUGCCAAAACUAUUAUUGAAGGAGCACUUUUGGAAGGGAUUCCUGGUGCAAUAAUUUGUUGCCAGGAAGCUGUUUGGGUUACUUUUGGUAUUGGAGGCUGGAUUUCUCUGAUAUUCUGUGUGGAUAAGUGGAAUAGGAUGUUGGGCAAUGAGAAGAACUAGCUUCAGCUAAAGUUUUUUAAGGAAAAUAAGAAGAAUUAGGGCAUUUUGUGGAGUUUGAGGUGGAUCAUCUCAGGUGUUUGAGCUGAGGUACAGAAGCUGAAAGUUCUUGAAAUCUUUGAACUUUCUGGUUAAUUUUACCUUUAAAAGAAUUGCAUUAAAUAUGACGUGUUCAUUUCAUGAUUUCUGAUAACAGAACUGUGAUCCUUAUAGGAUAAAAUGGGUAUCUUUCUGACAAGAACCUCAUCUAAGUUCGCAUUUGAGGCAGACUAGUGCAACAGAAUUUUAACUGCAAUGAAGUAUGUACCUGUUAUUCAAAUGAUGAAUUCUAGGUGCUCUUACUUAAAGAGAUUGUGUAUAUUCUUUUCAACAGUGUAAGGGAACAUAGGUGUCUUGUUUCUUCAAAAGUCCUAAAACAAGGCCAUAUUCCCGUGCAUUGAAAUUAUGUGAGUUUGAUGUUUGAACAUGAGUUGUAUAUCUAUACUUGAUUGUACAAGCCAACUUAGAAGUGAGGCUUGAGAAUGUGUAAAAACUACUCUAAGGUUAUAUCCAUCUGCUUUAAGUUAAUGGUUAUAGGUUCCUCCAAAAAGAAAUUAGAGAAAGUUAUGUCUCAGAAAUAUGCCUUUCCAGCUCGGAUAUGCUGUUCCAAGUUAACAUACUAAACAUAAUAAAAAGCUGGAUUUUCUGUAAGCAAGUUCACUAAUUUGUAUCUUCAUCCUGUCAUAUAUUUUUCCAUCCAACUUUCUGCAUUUAUUUUUCUUGGAGUAAUUCUCAUUGUUGCUUUUAACAGUGGCUUUUCGUAAGAAAAGAUGAGAGCGAGUUGGGGCCUUUUUCUGCAUGGAAUAUAACAGGAACAUAUAGAGGUUUGUCAGUUAUCUUGCUUUGAAUUGCAUCCAUUCUCUGGUCUUGAUUAUGUAUACCUUUUCUAUGUCGCUGAAUACGCUUAUAAGUACCUUAACUUUGCUGAUAAUUAGUAGCCUAUUUUAUACAUUGUGUUAAGCCUGAAGGAUAUGAAUAUUUUUAAGCUGAAACAAAUGAAAUUAGGUUACGAUCUUUGACUAUACCUGUUUUGGAAAUUUAAAGGUAAUUAGUAUUUAUUUCUAGUUGAACAUUUUUGUCUGAUUGAGUCAUGCUUUAAGAUUCUAUUUUGUUGUAUUAACAGUUGGAUGAGGUAACUUGACGCAAAUUUAUAAUUUCACGGAUAUGUGUAAACUAGGAAAGAGGUGGAAGACGUAAGGCAUUUUUGCCUGCCUAGAUACUGUUUUAAGAGUGAUCUGUCAUGUUUGAUUAGUGAAUGCUAUUGAAUAUUACAAAAUCUUCAUAUCAGUAGCGGAGCAGUUUGGAACUUUUAUUUCUGAUACUUGUUAGGGAAAUUUUUCGGAUAUUCAUGCUCCAUGAUUGCUAGCAUCUAAAAAAUAGUCGGCACCCUGAAGUGCCUGCGUUUCCUAUUAAUAUAUUUUCCCUUUCCUACGUGUUCUUUUUUUUCCCUUUUCUUGGGCAGGCAUUUUUGAAGAAUCUUUGCUAGAAUCAUGUAAUUUUGAAUGAUAUCAUGGGGUUACAUCUGGUAAUUGUAUUUCUGUCAAAGAGUGACUAAAUAUUAUUGUACAUAUCUAUAGGACCAAAAGUAAAUAUCUUGUUGAUUUGACUGCUAUUAAUGAAAUGUGCUCAAAGUUGUUUUUGGAUACUACACCUUGCUGAUUAUAUGAUUCAAUGGAUUUACCAUGCAGGGUCGUGGAGAUUUCUGGACUCCACAAAUAGCUCAUCCAGGUUUCCUGAUUUCAAGAAAUCCAAUGGAAACUCUGUCCUUGAACUAAUUAGCACUCCAACCAAAAUAACUGGUGUACAUUACGUUCAGGUGAUACCAUCAUUCUGCUUGUUCUAGCAGUGGCUUGGAUGAACAGUCCUUGUCUUAGCUUGUCUGAUUCAUUUCAUGGCUGAAUAAAACCUUCAAUCUGCACAGUGAUCACCCCUUGUCUGUCAAUUUGUUCAUCCUGCAUCUUAACGUGAAUUUUUUGUAGGUCAAAAUUAGUCUUUGCCUCCACUUCUGAUAGGGGAAAGAAAAGCCGUAUACUUUUUAAGUAAUUAGCUAGCUUUGAUUGUGAAAUACAUGCAUAUAGCAGUUGAAAUUCUUUAUCAGUUAAGUUUAUAUCAAGUUGGUGACUGAGUGUCUCUGGAAAUGUUUCGAUAAACAGCAGAUUGUUUUGUUUCAAAGCAGUCUGUGUUGAAUUUGUUCUGGGAUAGAUAAUUAAUUGCCAGCAAUGUAAUGACUGACUAUAUACUGUUACAUUUUACAUCUCCUGUACAGUUACAGUUUACAUCUCCUCUAUUUGACCUGUGCUUAUACAUUGCGAAUACAUAAUGUCUGUGCUUAUACAAGUAACUCUUAGACCUAUUCAAACAUUUAGCUUUAUUCUUGGGGAAUUUUCUUAGCCAAAACUCAUUCCUGUUUGUGUUGCAAUUCUCAUUUGUUUUGUUAAUAUAUGUAAUAGGGUGUAUUAAUCUUCCAUGAUGUUUAUGAUAAUGAACGUGAAGCUGGUGGUGCCCAAAUUCGAAUAGAAGGGGUCUAUAUAUGGCCAUUCAGACAACUCCGACUGGUAACUUAUAGGUAUUCUUGGGUUUGCUUCCACUCUCUUCUUCUGAAUCACUCUUGGGAGUGGUGGAUGAUAUUGCUUUAAAUAUGGUGUCUGCACAAUCAAGGUAGUACUCCUGUUAUAAUUUAAGGAUAUGCGUGGAGCCGCCAGUCCUGCAUAAUCCUGCUAUGAUUCUGCUUAAAUAUGCUCUGAAACUCUGUUGUCAGUUCUCACCAUAAUAUGGCAUAUUUCCAAUAGUAGAUAUGUCUCUAGCCAGCGAAGAAAGUUUGAAUGUGUAACCAUCGGUGUAAACAUCCCUCAUCUGUAUAUCUAGUCUGGCUCCUGUCUGCAUGAUAUUGGAUUGGUUAGUUGAGACCUGGGUUCUUAAUUUGUGACUUAAUAUUUAGUUCUAAUCUGAAGCUUUUUUUAUUUUUAUUUUUUUCUGAGUGCAAAAUUAUUUGUAGCUGUGAUCUUAUUUGGAUGACCUGCUUCUCGUCCCUAAUUGACCCACAAUUUGACAUUCACUUCUAUGCAUUUGCUGCUAAUGUUGUCAUUGGUAUCUUCUGCGGACAUGUUUUGGUAACUUUUCACAUUCUUGCUGUUCUUUUUUGCAAGAGUCUUUAGUUGUACUUUCUCUAUCUGUAUGGUUUUGACUGUUUACUAAAAGUUUCAUGGCUCAAGUUACCUUGGUUUAAAUGAUCCCAACAUUUUGAUCACUUCACUAAGUUUUUAGAAUUGAAUUAGAAAAUCACUUCCCGAAAAUGUUCUGGAUUGGCCCUUUGUUCUCUAUACUGAAUUUAUAUGACUUAUGAUUUCCUUGUCAAGCAUCUUCACCAUCUUUUUGGCCUUUCUUGUUUUGCUACUCUUCUUUCCUUCCCCUUAAAAGGAAAUAGAAAGAGGGAAAAUGGAAAGGAGAAAGACAAAAAUUCGUUUAGGAAAUGCUGAUUUGCUUAUUAAUAUAAUCUGCAGAAGUGUUUUGGAAGCUUUCAUAACUCACAUUUCUGGAAAUUCUAAUUUGCAGUGGAAAAGAGGGCGAGUUUGGCCAGGAAGAUGACUAUAUACUAUCGAAUCCGUAUCACUUGGUAAUUGCCAUCUCUUAUGGUCGACUUUUUGAUGGUUCUGUGGGAUAAUGGUGCUUGCAUUUUCUGCUUUUCAGAUUGAAUGCAAAAUAGUUCACUGUCAUUUGAAUGACAGAAAUUCAAUAUAUGUGAUGCUGCUUUUAAGCAAUUGGGUAUCUGUUUGGGUUCCAUUUACAGUUUCUAUGUGUGUUUGGUUGGUUUUGCCUUUUUCUAAAUUUUUUUCCUUUCCUUUUUGUUCCAGUCUGUUGUGGAAAUGUUGUGUUUAAAGGGAAGAUCAUAACUAAGGUCCUUAUGGAUUUGGUGUUUUUAAAAAAUUUACUGUAGCAUUUAAUCUAAAAAACUAUACUGUAGCAUUGUACUUUGGUGUGUUUUGUAACAUUUAAAAUUUUUUUUUGGAGUGCCUUAGAAAAGUUAAAAAGUUCCUUCUCCCACUAACCUAAGCCUCCCACCACACCUGCCUCGCUUUCCCCGCCCGUCAACUCCUCUCCGUCCCCCACACCUUCCCUUCUCUGCUGCCUCCUCCUCUUCCCCCCUCCUCUCCUCUCCCCCUCUUCCACCCUCCCCCCUCCCACCUCCUGGCCCACUCCCCUCCUUUCCCCCUGCCCCUUCCCCUCCUUCAUGGGUACCGGAAAUAGUCAUGAGGGACCAGAUUUGGUCACAACCAGAUCUGCAUGAGUGGUGGUGGGGCGUGGUGUAGGGGGAGGGUGGUAGGGGGUGGUGGAGGAAAAAAAGGGUUGGUGGUUUCUUUUAGUUAGUUUUUGAUGUUUUUGCUAGGUGUAUUAGGAGUGUUUUCUAGAUGUGUUAUUGUAAUAUUGUAUUUCAAAAACUAGUAUUUGAAAAAACUCCUAACCCAAACAGAGGCUAAAUUUCCUUGAUCUGCUGGUUAUAAACAAACUAAUGUGGUUCUAUCUUUAUUUUUGUGAAAGAUUUCGGAAUUUUUUGAAUCAAAGUUUUAAUCUGCUAGGAGGAUUGGACUUUCCAGAAUCCUUAGUAUUGUAUCAAUUGAUCAUUUAAACUUCCAAUUGUUAAGGUGCUGGCCCAGAGGGAAUCUAUUGUUUAGGUUUUGUAACCUUGUAGGAAUUGAAUUUUUUGAGUGAUUUUUUGGUGUGCAUCUGCUAUCUAGAACGAGGACUAUUUUCUGUUUACUGUAAAACUUUCAUUCAACAGUUGGCCAUUGUUAAUGGUCAACAUGAGUUCUUUAAGCAAUCUCCUACUUUUGUUGGAAUGGACCAGAAAGUAAGAGAUUUCAAUCGUCCUUCAUUCCUUGUUCCAACUUUUGGAUCAACAGGCAAGAGCAUAGUAUUAUGUUGUACCCUCUACAGAUACUAGACAUAUGAAAGAUGUUCAAUCAAGGGAUGAGUUUGGGUUUCCAUUUCUUGAAAAUUAGGACUGAAAAAAAUGUUGUGUUGCCCAUGGUCCUUGAAUGUUGUCUAUGAUGAAAUUAGAUCAUUCUCAAAGUGGUCCAAGAUGAUGUUUCCCGGAUUCACCUAAGUACGGGUAGCAAAGGCUCACUAAGCUUCGCUUCCCUUCCCCCCUUCCCUUAUUAAGUGGAAAAUAAAUAGUAUUUGGUAUUCUAUAAGCGACUACACGACCAAUAGCAAAGCCAAGCAAUUUGGAUCCAAAACCAUCCAAAUAAACCUAGGUUAAAUGGAUUUGGUUGAGUGAGAAAUUCUUAAUGACGUUAAAUGGUUCACCAUUUAAAUCCAUGUAAACUGGUGUUUCACCAUUUAAAUCCACGAAACUGGUGGAUUUAAAUGGGUUAUCCAUCUCAUCCAUCUAAAUCCAUUUAUCAAAAAAAAAAAAAAAAAAACUUGAAACUCUCUCCACGCAUACCACGCUAUACACACACAUUCACACACACUACAAGCACUGACCCGCAUACUAUACUUGCUUUGAGCUUUACCCAACUUGACCCGUUUCAAAACCCGAGAGAAUAUGGAUCUGUUGCAGAAUUCUCCCUCUGCUGCUCCUAUGUGAGUAUGAGUUUGAGUCAGUUUUGAACUCGUAACUCAAGAAUUGGUAGGGGCCAUUUUUGAGUCAACCAGAAUUAGACAUUGGCUUCACUUGAUGAUUGCUGAUGAUGAUGAUAAGUAUGAAGAUUUCCUGGCUGAAGCAUAUUAAAGUUUCCAAACCCGAGCGAAGUCAUUUGGAAGAAAAAGAGUCAAUUUGAAGUGGUUCAGGUUUUUUACCAGAUUGAAGAAUGCCCGAAAUCACUUGGACAAAGAAGAGGUCAAUUUGAAGUUGGUUGGGUUUUUGACUAGAUUGAGGAAUGCCCAAAUGACUACUAAUCAGUAGUUGAAUCGUUGGAUCCAAACUUAUUCGGGAAGAGUAAAUGGUUGCGAUGGAUAAUGGUUUUACAUUAGCCAUGUAAAUCCAAUCCAUUUGGAUCCAUUUUUUAAUUGGAUGUGAGUGGGUUGGAUCAAUUUGAUCCACCAUCCAUUUAGUUAAAACCAUUUAAUAACCAAAUAUCCAUUUUGCCACUUGUCCUGGUAAUUAAUAUGUCCAAUCAUGACAACUAUGACUUGGAAUGACUUGAGUCAUUGUUUCUUUCACAGCUUGGAGUUUUCUCAUCCCAGGUGUUCCAGGAGUCUCCACGUGACAAAAUUUGGAAAAGAAAACAUUGUAAUGUUAUUCAUCCAUCAUGACUUGAAGUUCUCAUAGCUGGUGGGUGAGGUUGACUAAUCAUAUCUUCUAUUGCAGCACCCAUAUAUGAAAUGGAGAAACACUGUAAUAUUGAAAUUGCGGCUCAAAUAUCACAUAUGUCAUCCACUCAAAAUGGUACAUGAGUUAACUAAAGCAUAUGAAUUCUUUCUUUAUUCCUUAUUUUCUGUCUACUAUUGGUCAUCAAAUGAUUCAACAAUUCGACUUUAUACUACAUUUUUUAAGAAAUAAUAAUGGUCAACAAUAAGGGUAGCUAGUGUAAGCGACUACUCUUUUUUUUCCCUUUUUUCUUUUCCCCCACUGCAUCUUUUGAUGUUCAAUCUGGUGUGUAAAUGUAAAGACAACCUUUUUGUGCUGAGCAGUAAUUGAUGCUACUAUUUAUACUGCAAAUGGUUCAAUUGUACCUCCAGCACAUAAAAACUGUAAUUCUAGUAGUUGAGUAUUAAGGGAGACAUAAUCCUUAAAUAUAUUGUACUGAAAUAUUAUAUUACCUUUGACAAAUCUGGUUGUUUAAUGUACAUCUACUGAGAGAAAAAUGGUUUGCCAGGAAAUUGAAUGAUAGGUUUAAUCUGAUAGAGACUUUGUGCAAGAUGUGUAUGGUUAUAUUUAAAUGCAUUUUCUGUUAACUCAGUAAUUUAAUCAUGCGAAUAGUUUUUUUGUGAUCUCUUAGAGAAUAUUUUGAUCUAUUUUACCCUUCAUCUUUUGCUAGAUGGAGACCAUGAUAGAUAUCAUCUUGAGGGACUGAUGGAAAGCCCUUCAGUGGAUGAUGAUGGAGAUUGCUUCUCACCCAUUGCUUUGAAUGCCACUUCUGUCAACAUUGAGGUUUACUACAACAAAGCAGUUAACUACACCUUGAUGGUCACCUUUGUAUCCUUCUAUCAAAAAUUGGUUCUUUAUUUGUUUAUCCUUUAUCUUGUUAUCAAAUUCUUUUGGUGGAUUCCUUAAGUUGUGGCACUAUAGGUUUCCUUCCUUCAAGUUCUUCUGUUAAUUCGACAAAUGGAACAUAGUAACACUCAAUCAGUAAGAUUCCUUGUCUUAAUCAUGCUCAUUUGUUGGUAAAAACAGUUUCAUUCUCUAUAGUUUUUCAUUUCUACUAAGUCUGGAAGUGAUAUCAGGUUUGCCAUUCCUUCCUUCUGAUAUUGCUUAAUGGAAGAAUUAACUGAUUUGGUAUCAUUCCUACAGGGAGCUGCCAAAGUGUCUAUACUGAUGAUAGGGCAGCAGGCUAUCAUGGACGCAUAUCUUUGUUUAUUGCAUCUGACAGCUGGAAUUCUAGUUGGUAAGUUUGAACUGGAUUGAUGUGUGUGUAUCUCUACAUUACUAAGUGAAAUAACCACAUUUUUUCUUUCCUAAUGAAGUACAUUAUCUUUACACUUUAACCUUGUGUAAUCUAUCUCUUGUUGUUUUUCUUCCCUUUGAAAUGGCCCAUGUAAAUCAGUUGCUGUGGCAAAGCUUCUUCCUAGUUUCAUAACAAAAUCCUGAUUUAUAUUGGCCAUGAAAAAACCAGUUACUCAUAAUUUAUAAGAAUAAAAUUUUUUUUAGGUAGAGCAUAGAUGAAUUCUAGUUUGGGAUCUUUAUCUUCAUAAUGGACUUUUUUCCCCCUCUUAUUCUUAUAACCUGCAUGCUUGGAGGCGUAUUUGUGGUAGUGAAGAUAAAUGUUUUUGGCAAAAUAUUUUGCUUCCUGCUUUUGAAUUCCCAGCAGCAGUGUUGGAAUACGGUUCGCUGAACCUCAGAUACUCGUAUUGUUCUUUUAACCUGCAUGCUUGGAGGCGUAUUUGUCGUAGUGAAGAGAAUUGUUCUUUGGCAAACUUUUGUGCUUCCUCGUUUUGAAUACCUAGUGGUUGUGGUGGAAUACAGUUAGCUGAAGCUCAGAGUCAGUGAAUAUGCAUUUUGUCUCUGUUCCUUAAUGACUGUUUCAAAUAAUUUUUUAAAAAAAUUUCUGUGGCCAAUUUUUACCAAUUCUAUUCUAUCUUUAUCCCCGCUGCAGUAUUCAGCUCUGGAGCUCUAUGUGUUUUAUCUAAAAUUUUUCCUCUGGUUCAUUCGGAUUAUUAAAUCGUGUUUCUCUGCCUGCAGAAUCUCUAUUCAAUGCUUUUGCAACUGCAGCUUUCUUCAAGUUUGUCGUGUUCUCAAUAUUUGAGAUGCGUUACCUUCUUGCCAUAUGGAAAGCAAGUAGGCCUAUGAAUAAUGGAGAGGGAUGGGAAGCAAUGAGACGUGAACUAUCAGUUCUUUACAGUCGUUUCUGUGAGUAUUCUCUUGUUGAAUGUUAGAAUGGUUCUAGAUACUAAUGUGGAUAUCAACCAAUGUAGAUCAAAAUAUAUAUUUCCUUUAGUGGAGAUUUGUGUACAUACACAUGUUUUUUGUUAAGGUGAGAUCUUCCAAUUAAGACAACUACUGUUUCCAUAGUAAUUAGUACAAAAAACAGAUUAGAAGAUAAAGAGAAACACUGCCUACUAAUGAUAAUAGAGAAAUGACCUAGGUAUGAAGAUUCAGAAUAUUUGGGAACAAUACUUCCAAUGCAUCAUCUAACCAACCUGAUAUAAGAAGUAGCAUUACAAGAAAGUGGAAAUUGGCAAUAAUGUUGCAAACAAGGCUGCAUGUCAUGUCGGUUACAUGGAUACUUUUCCAUGCAUGCUGGCAUUCUAUUGGGCCUUAAGUAGUUAAUAGAAAAUCAGAUGCAGUCACUGCAUGACACUUGUUGAAAACACAUGCUGCAGUUACAAGAUGCCUACUGCAAACUGUGACAAUGAAGAAAAAGUGAGAAUACAACUCCUUGGUUAGUCAAACACAUUAUCAAAUCUUUUGUUGAUGAAUAACAAGUGUUUUGUAUUUAAUUGGAAGAAAAGACAGGGAAUAAGCUAAUGCAAAGAUAGUUUGUAAAGUAUGUUUGUUCGUAGAAUAUCUAGGUGUGAAUGUGAGAUUAGUGCACUCAAUCUCUUCUAUGUAAGUAUUCUGCAAAGACCCAAAUGUACUUCCCUGCUAAUCAUUUUAUAAAAUAUCUGCAAAGUAUGUGAGAAAAGAAUGUCUAGUAGGCAUAUAGAUGAAAACAUGAUCAUAUGUACCCUCAUAUUGUCCUUGGCAUAUUUUUAUGCUACUUUCAGAAAAAGUACGUCUUCCUGUAUCUAUGCCAUUUAUCUGUCCUUUUGUUCUACAAAGAAAACUAAAUACUGAUUGUAUAGCUUUCUCUCCCUCUAUUUACUCCAAAUGUUUUAGCAAGCUGCAUACAUGUCUUUGCAGCUUGUUUUCCUUGCAUUGAAUGUUUUAGCCACUCUAACUUGUAAAUUAGUAUGGUAAAUGGAAUAAUUGUUGGAAAAUGUUUCUUGUUCUUGUAAAGGUGAAAGACUAGAAUCUUACUAGUUGUGCCCCAAUCUAGUAGACUGUCUGACCUACUGUAAUGGUGUUUUGUUAUAAUUUUGAACCCUUUUAAAUAUAGUAUGAUUCUCUCUCUCUCUCUAAAGCUUAAAGUAUCCACCUGCACUUGUAUAUACAUCGAUGGUGCUCUUGGAUAACUUUCAUUUCUCUUUUGAAUAUCACUUAUUCAGCUUGCCUUUUAGCAGAGUUACUAAAAGAAAUAUGUAUGGUAUAUGCAUGUAGAUUUUUGUCAAUAACCUUUAAAUCUAUUGCAGAUGGAAUCCUUUUGGGUGGGAUUUUGAUCACGUAUGAGUUCCACAAGUUUUUGCGGCUUAUUCUUUUGCUUACGCACUCAUUUUGGAUACCUCAAAUUGUCACUAAUGUGGUUCGAGACUCGAGAAAACCACUGCAUCCUCAUUAUAUCAUAGGAAUGACUGUAACUCGGUUAGCAAUUCCAUUGUACGUCUUUGGCUGCCCUCACAACUUCAUGCGAAUAGCAUCUGACAAGAACUGGUGCAUCUGUUUGGGUAUUUUUAUGGGCUUCCAGGCUUCAAUUCUUCUUCUACAACAUUACCUUGGUUCACGGUGGUUUAUUCCUCGACAGGUCUAACACUUUUUAUGAUAUUUAUAUAAUCAUAUCCCUGCUAUUUUUUGUUCAUAACCAAAAAAGACACAAAUUUGCUGCUGCAUGUUGCCCCACCUUUUCUCAUCCCUAUUUUCUGCAUUGAUUUUUUCAAACAAAAUACUGCUCCUCUAUGAACUGUGCAGCACAAAAUCUACAUCUCUCAAAACUGACCUCUGAGAGUGACAGCAUGUACAAAAUUUUUCCACCAUGCCUCUCUGGCUUCAACAAUGUUGUCAAGUGGUUUGCAUACCUAUUGUCAAAUUAGCUAUGUGUUUUACCUUACUAAAUCUAGGGUUUUUGCUAUCUUAGCCACUGUAAUUUUUGGAUCAAUUUUACAGUUUGUAUGAGUUUCAAGCAGGAUUAAUCAUAUCAGUUUUACUUGUAACAAUUUAUAGCGUAACAGCCCAAUGCUUGUAUUUGGAAGCUCCUAUACAAUUAUUUCUUAUAAAAUAUGGCAAAAGAACAUUAUGUUAUUUUCUUGUCUUCAAUUCAUGUGCUGAUAGUAUUUUUUGUUCAAGUCAAAGUACCUAAGUCAUGUCAUUUAUAAUUACUUGCAUUGUCUUGUCGCUGUCUACCUGGUAAAUUUGAUAAAUUGUGAAGAAGAAUAUGGAUUCGAUAUCCUGAGUGUUUCUUCUCACUAAUGCUACAUGAAAGAUAGAUUCACAUGUUUGUGAAUAACUAUAUAUUUUUAUUUCUCUCAGUUUUAUGGAUUGUUGAAGGAUUGAGCUUGCAUAUCUUAGAGAGAGUGCCUAAUGUGGUAUAAAAAGAGAAUCUCUUGAAUCAUCUUUUUUUAAGUCUCUUAAAAUCAUCAGUGGAGUAGUUUUGGUUUAGCCAUACUAGUGUGUGAUGAUGGAUAUAUAAGAGAAAUGACAUAUGUUAUUGUUUAAAAAAUUGAUUAGCAGCUAUUUUGUUGUACUUUAUUGAGCAGUUAAAAGUGUUGCUUUUUCAUUAUGCAUGUGAUAGUGUGAUUGGAGCUUUGCAUUUCUGUCUUAAACAGCCUUCAUCUGAAUUGUGCAGAUUUUACCCGAGAAAUACAGCUAUUAUAGAAGGUUUGAUCAGGAUCCAAACCAUGCUACAGACUGUGUCAUUUGUAUGACUUCAAUCGACCUUACUCAACGCUCUAAUGAUUGCAUGGUAUUAAAUCAAAUGGUUAGCACUUUAAUUGCUUCACAGGAUGACAUCUUUUAAAAGUAUAUGUUUUGAUUGAAUAUUUUGUAAUCUAGGUUACACCGUGCGAUCAUUUCUUUCAUUCGGGCUGUUUACAAAGAUGGAUGGACAUAAAAAUGGAGUGUCCAACCUGCAGACGUCCUCUUCCACCAGCUUGAGGAGAUUGUAUGACCUUUCCAUCCAUUUUUUCAGGGACCAACUGACAUUGCUCAACCUGCUAACUGGGGUAAAUGGCUUCUUACAGGCUCUCAAUUGCUGUUUAACUUGCUAACUUGCUGGGUCAGUUCUUUUUUUCCACCUUCCAAUUUUAAUGUAAUGUCAGAUCCUUCAAGUAUAUAAAUCUUGCUGGGAAGCAAAGUAACAGUUAACGUCGGGACAUUUUCAAAUAGUUUUAUAAUAUGGAUUAUGCAUAUUUUGCAGUAGAAUAUACUUUCUUUUCCCCGAAAUCCAACUUAGCUGGUAGGGAUAUUAGCUAGGUGACUAUGAGCUCCCUGGUUCGACUUUCAAGCCCUCCCUUUUCCCAUUUCCCCCUUGAUAAUGUUUGAAGUCUCUCAUUGAACCAAAAGAAUAUACUUUCUCAAAUAUCUGUAUCUGCAAAUUUUUUUUGGCAUUUCAAAAGGGCUAAACUUGCAUCUAUACACGUUUAAGUUUUUUAACAUGUCUCACAUGCUUAAUUUGCCAAAUAAAUUUUGUCAAUGUCCUGAAGUUUUUGUUUUCUUAUAGAAGGCUGAUGCUUUCUCCUUUACACUUUGAGAGCUCAUUGCAGAACAUGUAAUACCUAAAAUCUCUCUAUAACAACUUUACUAGCCCCAUACUAAAAUCUUGCAUUAAGCUUUUCUUCUUUUACUUUUUGUUUCUCUAAAAAGGGAAAAACCCCAAUAAGCUUUAACAACAAUAUAUUAUCUCAGGUUGGAGGAAUGGACCAGAUUCGGCUUAUUACAUCUUUGGAAAAAGGGCGAGAACUAUGUGUAGUUAUGGAUGAACGUGCUGACCUGCAAAGUUGUAUUGUGAUGUACAUUAUAGGAGUGUAACAUUUUACUGAAAAUUGAUGAUUCUUCUAAAUUUUUUUUUCCAGCGUUGUGUCAUUUUCCCCACCCAAGUUUCAUAGGUAUUCGAGACCUUAGGUGAUCCCUCUAUGGGGAAGAAAAAAAAAAGGGUACAGUUCUAAGCUUACAAUUCAAGGUAGGUGUAUUGGUGUAUAUUCAGUUACAGGAUUGAUAUGAGAGUAAUGGACCAAGUCAUUUUUCACCGAAAUCUUUCCAAAAAAAAAAAAAAAAUCAGACUGCUGUCAUAUCCACUGCUCCCAUUGGUUCCACCUCUGCCAUCACGGCCGGCACUGCCACUCCCGAUGUUUGUUUCCACCAGCACUGUUGCAUUAACGAGCCUAUUUCUCUUACCUCAAAGCUUAUGAUGGCUUUUUUAGUUGUAAUAUGAUGAAACCAUGGACUAAGGCAAUGAGGGUGCAAGGUGAAGCAGAGCUGAAGGUAGGGAAACAGAUGCGCAGAUAGGCUAGCAGAGCAAGUCUUGCACAGGGCCACCAGCGGGAAAUGUCAAGAGUUGCAGGAUCCACCGGCGGUAUUGAGGAAUCUGCUUGCAGAUGACAUUGUUGGAGUGGCAACCCCACGUCUAGUCUCUUGUUAACGUGCUGUAGCCCUCCCUAGGAACCACCACCCCCCCCCCCGGGGCCCCAACCAAAAAAAAGAGGAGGAAACCAUGGAUCAGCGUUUAGCUCAUCGACAAGAAUGUUGUUGAAGUGACAUUGAAAGCCAUUGAAAUUAAAUGAAUUCGAGACUUGGUAGUGUCACCCCGGAAAGGGUCCAAUGGUGCACGACUCCAGAGUAGAUGGGUUCAAUGCAAUCAUCGAACAUUAGGAGAUUACAUUGAAAAAAAAUUAAAUAAGUUGAGCCAGAUGAACAAAUGAAAUAGCAUUAUGGCAGUGGAUUUCUUGAAAAUCCAGUUCAUAUUCAAAGCCCAAAGGUUUGAUUCCUCGAUUCAAAUUGAAUUGCCAAGAAGUCGAUUUCACUAUUGUAGGAUAAUAAUAACUAUACUUCGUUAAUUUUGAAUAAAUUAACAAUACUUCUGCAAUAUCCUGCAGUAUCUGCAGGAAUGAGCAAACCUAACAGCCAAUGCUGCAUGCGCAAUUUGUUCAAUUCAUCUUAAAAUGACCUCUUCACCAAGAGUUGAAAACAGGUUGGCAAAAAGGCAGCCUAUCAAGAUACAUUUUGUCUCGUAAUGGGAAUGUGUGUGUUGCAGUAUCUAUUUGCUAGGGAUCUCCUAACUGGCAACUAAUAUACGGGUUUAUCAGGAUGCAUUCUCAAAGUUGGUAAAUGUGUAUCUUUCAUGAACUUGUUAACCAUUAAAAGUAUGAUUUAAACACAGUCGAUCAGGACUUGAUGAAAAAAACUACUGUGAGAAAUUAACACGGAUUAGAUCUGUGGUCAUUUGGUAGAGUGUUAUAUGAGUUCUUGGUUAGUAAUAAGCACCAGCUUUGAAAACAUGUUAAAAGGAAAGGGUGGCUUCAGAUGUUUGAUGUGACAAAUGAGCUAAUAAUUUGAAACCUCGGGUAUCAACUAUCAAUCAACAUUAACAUCUACUCAUACAAACGUUGCCAUGGACAAAUCAAAAGUUUCAAGACGAGAGCAAAUUUACAAGACAAACUUCAAUCAAAUCAUUAACAGGGCCCCAGCAAAACCAACAUGGAUUUUGUUAUUUUGCUCACUGGUUGAGAUGACUAUAGUUGCUGCUGAAGUUAGCCACUGGGAGGCGAAGGCAGUGGUGUUGGGGCAGGAGGAGUACCAGAACCACCACAGUGAUAGUCAAAGCAUUCCACAGGAUGCUCAUACACUGCAGUGCAUUCCUUCUUGGUCCUCUGAAGAGGCUUUUCCAGCAAACAGUUUCGACGGUCAUCAAACGCAAUGCCUCUGGAUGUCAAGUUCAUGCAAAUGCCUUCCUCCUCACAGAAGAAGUUAUAAGAAUAUGUGAAAUUGGACAAAUUAGGCAAUACACAAACUCCAGCGGGCACGUCUCCAGUAAACAUGUUGUGAGCUAAAUUGAGGAGCUCCAAGUGAGCUAAUCCUGCAAGGCUGUAAGGUAUUGGACCAACUACUCUGUUGGAGCUCACGUCUAGGACCCUAAGUUUGUAUAGAUAUCCAACCUCAGGUGGCAGGCACCCUGUUAAGCUAGUAUUGAUCAGGAGCAAUUCCUCUAAAGUGUUUGCAAAGUUGGCUAUGCUUGGAGGAAGGCAGCCUCCAAAUUUGUUAUUCGCAAACACCACAACAGAUGCUGAACUCAAGCCUAAAUUUGGUGGUAUGACAGAAGUAAAGAGAUUGUUGUUGAGAAAAACUGCAUCCAGUUUUUUGGCAAAGAGUUGAGCAGGUAACGGCCCUUCAAACUCAUUAAAGCGAAUAUCAAGAAACUUCAGCGUCGGAAGAGAAAGUACAACAGAAGGGAAAGGGCCUACAAAUCUGUUGUUACUGAGGUCAAGCUCAAAGAGUAGAGUAAGGUUUGCUAAUGAUUGAGGGAGGAUGCCACAGAACCGGUUGCUAUUGAGAUGAAUCAAUGCAAGGUCUGAGAGAAGGCCUAGUUCCUCAGGCAGAAAACCAGCGAUAUCAGCAAAGUUGAGGUCAAUGCCAGCAACAACUUGUAUUUUGGUAUUGUCUGGAUAAGGGGCACAGUAGACUCCUGUGUAAUUGCAUACUGAAGGGCCAAUCCAGUUUGAAGUGAAGUUUUUAGGGUCAGAAUAAAUUACUUUCUUCCAAGCUUGGAGAGCCACAUACGCUUGUUGCAAUCUGGGAUUUAUUGUGGCUUUAUUCGUGGGGUGAUGUCUGUAGUGUUGGCGGUGGCGGGUGGAUGAGUAACCAUGUUUAGCAAAGCUGUUGAAGGAUGAAAGGAUCAGCACUAAGAGAACCAUGGCAUGGGCUAGAAUGAAGGCAAAUGAAGCCAUUGCUGUAGCAAGGUUAGAUCCUAAUUGCUGUAGAAAGGCCUCUCAAUUCAUUAAGGUUGCUACUGCUCUGGGGAUUCCCUGAGUUUUAUACAGACAAGAUCCACAACAGCACAUGUUACAACCACCAAAUACAGCGACCUUUAACUGUCACAACUGAUAGCCAAGAUGAUCAUUAUGCCUUCCGAGGUUUCCAGGUCUAUGUUGGAUGGCCUGUGCAUAAUUUAUCUAGUACUAUAAUUUGAUGCCUUGACAUGAACUCACCUGCUGCUUUCAACUGUGAUAGGCAUAUGCAUUCUCUGUUUGAUGUGGUCACCAGUAUCUUCAUUUUUUCCUAAUGCACUAUCUGCACAAGAUUGGGCAGAAGAAAAUAUGCAUGAUAUGGACUUUCCUCCUUCCAUGUAAAUAACCUGUUUUCUGAAGUGGAAGUGGAGAAAGACAGCUUCAGCCUCCAGAGAGAGACAGAAGGGAAGUGAAAGGAACAAAUGUUUUCUUCAGUUGGAAGGGAUAAGCAUGUUGUCUCUGCGAGGUUUUCCAAUUGUCAACCCUGGGGGGUAAACUUCAGCAUCUAGCUAAAUAAGUCCUGGUCAAAACCGCAUUUGAACACAAAGAAGAAUGGUGGAGAUUUUGUACAGACCACAGAAAAUAGCAAUCCAACUGCUCUUCUAGAUAGGAAACCAGGGUCUGAACAAAUCAUCCCCUCUGUUGAAGAAUCAUUUUACUAAUCACUGUUGCUGGAUGGAUCUAAUACCAUUAAACAUGAAAUAUAUAUAAUGCCAAUCUUAAAACCUAGUAUUCUUAACUGAUGCUUGAUACAUAAAACGCCAACCAUUCUAUGAGUCAGUUCAAUAGUGAUGAGGAAUUCUAUGAUUGCUACCAAAAGGUCAGAGAUGAUGUCAUGUUGGAGUUUCUUUACCAAAGCCUAAGGUGAACAAUCAUAGUCAUUCGUAAGGACUUUUUUUAAGUUUUGGGUCGGACACAGGUGCAAUUGGGUUCACUUGGUGGAGCUUUACCAUGUUUCCUGAUGAAAAUUGUGGGGCAAGAAAAGAAGAGACUGAAAAACAAGAAAACUAGCUCAUAAUAGAGAACCUUUGAUGUAAUUGCUGGACUAUAACCUUGAUGAGUGCAGAACUCGAGAUACAGAAAUAACGGGAAUUAAAUCACAAGCAAAAAAUUCAAAAAAAAAAAAAAAAGUAGUAGUCCUUGACCUGAAAAGGAUGCCAGAGAGAGAGUGUUCCAAGUAUCUUUCAGAAGAGAAUCUUACCCCUCAGAAAACUCGGAUUACAUAAUAGACAGGUUCCAAGUAUUUCUUUUCAGAAGAGAAAACUUGGAUUACAUAAUAGACAGAGUGUUCCAGGUAUUUUUCAGAAGAGGAUCUUACCCCGCAGAAAACUUGGAUUACAUAAAUUUUACUUGUUCAGAUCAAUACAGUAACAAAAAUGGACCCGUCCCUUCCGGGACAUCAUCAGGUAAGAAAUGGACCAAAGAUCCAAAAUUACAUACCUUCUGCUUUAUGUCAUUUUUCCUUUCCCCCCUAGCACAAGAUUAUCUUUUGUCUUCCCUUCAGUUUUUGACCACAUAGAUAUUAGUUUCUUCCGCAUCAGCACUUAAAAUAAAAAGAAAAAGGACACUACAGGCAACAGGAGAAUAGACAUAACACUUACAAAACACAGGUGGUGUCAAAUUCUCAAGAACGGCAUGAGGUAAAACAGUUUCUUCUUCUCAAAAGAACACUCUCAGAAGAACACUAAACAACACGCGGGCAUAAAACCCAAGUUGCACAAGCUUCAAAUAAAAGUUUUGAAACUUCCAAUAGGUAUCACUACCAUAUAUUACACCAUCCCGGAGUACUAAAUACUGCUAAUGACAAGUAAACUAUUGUUCUCCAGAAUUAUUUAAAGCACAAAUAGGUGGACCACCUAGACAAUCUUCAGACUCAUCUUCGUCAUCAUCAUCACCAUCACACCACACUCAAAUUAACCACCAC
RNAcentral lists this long non-coding RNA (49407 nucleotides) under Coffea arabica (coffee). Its description in RNAcentral is "long non-coding RNA (CARA_LNC003849)". Lineage: Eukaryota; Viridiplantae; Streptophyta; Magnoliopsida; Gentianales; Rubiaceae. The record is from RNAcentral.